UUCAUUUGACUGAAGAAAUGCUUGAAGAGCACCCAAAUAUGGGUGCUUACAUGGCUCCAUCGCUCAACAUACGCCAAGAAAUUAUCACUGCUGAGGUACCUAAGCUUGGUAAGGAGGCUGCAUUGAAGGCUCUUAAAGAGUGGGGGCAGCCUAAGUCCAAGAUCACUCACCUUGUAUUUUGUACAACUUCAGGAGUAGAAAUGCCCGGUGCAGACUAUAAACUAGCCAAUCUUCUAGGCCUCGAAACAUCAGUUAGAAGAGUAAUGUUUAUCAUCAAGGCUGCUAUGCAGGUGGGACUGUUCUCCGAACUGCGAAGGAUCUCGCAGAGAAUAAUGCAGGAGCACGAGUUCUUGUGGUAUGCUCUGAGAUCACAGUUGUUACUUUUCGUGGACCUUCUGAAACCCAUUUAGACUCUUUAGUAGGUCAAGCCCUUUUUGGUGAUGGGUCGGCAGCUGUAAUUGUUGGAUCAGAUCCAGAUACCUCCAUUGAACGACCACUCUUCCAACUUGUUUCAGCAGCCCAAACAUUCAUUCCUAAUACACAAGGUGCUAUUGCUGGCAACUUACGUGAGGUGGGUCUAACCUUUCAUUUGUGGCCUAAUGUGCCUACUCUGAUUUCCGAGAAUAUAGAGAAGUGCUUGACUCAAGCUUUUGCCCCACUUGGUAUUAGUGAUUGGAACUCCUUGUUUUGGAUCGCUCAUCCAGGUGGCCCGGCCAUUUUGGAUGCAGUCGAAGCAAAACUCAAUUUGGAGAAAAAGAAACUCGAAGCAACAAGACACAUCUUAAGUGAGUAUGGUAAUAUGUCAAGUGCAUGCGUGUUGUUUAUUUUGGAUGAGAUGAGAAAGAAAUCACUCAAGGAAGAAAGGACCACCACAGGUGAAGGAUUAGAUUGGGGCGUUUUAUUUGGUUUUGGGCCAGGUCUGACCAUUGAAACUGUUGUGCUGCAUAGCGUUGCUGGGGCUACAAAUUGAGUGAAAGGAAAAAAAUCAGAAGGGGACAAUUUCCAAUUAAAUCAAAUAGGAGUUAAUAAAGACAUAUAUGUCUUCUAUUUGUAACAUCUUUUAUUCUUUAUUAAAAUUGAUGUUUGUGGUUCAAAUUAGAGCUUGUUGGAGGGCUUCAUUAGUAACCUCAAGUUAAAAGGGAUGAGACAUCAAGUUCUUACAGUUUCGAUAUCUAGAUGAAAUUCCCUCAAAAGUUGUAUAAACAUCCACCGUGUUCUUUUAAAGAUUGUUGAGAGUAAUACAAAGAAAAGAAUAAAAUAACAAAUUGCCUUUUCCCUUUGUAACUAAGAAGCAAAGCCAUGUGGAUGCCAAAAGUAAUGCAACAAUUUGAAAAGAGUAAACAGGGCGGUUGAUUAGUUAACUUCCAUAAUUCCGCAACAUUUGAUUCAAAAGACUUUAGCUUUAUCAAUUACUUAACUACUACUCCGUAUGUGGAUAAAUUCUUGUACCAUCUGAAAAGGUAUAGAAGAUAGUUAUCCUCAUAAAUAGGUUGCCUAAUUAAUUAGGUGAUCUUCAAUAAUUCAACAAGAUAGGGAUUUUAAAAUAUUUUUACUUUAUUAAUUCCUUAACUACUCCUUAAACUUCCUUUUUUUCCCCUUUUUGUGAAAAGCUCUUUACCCUCAAUACAUAUGAUAUAUUCCGUUGCUAGGAACUUGGGUUUGAGUAUGUAUUAAUUACUAUUCUUAAUCAAAUUUAUUAUUGAAAAAUUAUUUUUAGUUGUGGUUUUUUUAAUAUACUUAUUACACAUUUAUCAUAUGUACUUGUUUAAUAUACUUUAAUUUUUUUAUAUGUACUUAUUACACAUUUACAAAUUACAAACUAAAUUGCCUUUAAUUUUUUUAUAGUUGAAGGCCUUCUUUUCCACCCCCAGUCUCCAAUAAAUUAGACUCUACAAAGCUUCUUCUAUGCUACUCUCUGAUUCUACUUCUAGUGCAAAGCCUUGGCACUCUACAUUAUCUUGCUAUUGCUAAGAGACAAUCCAAGAAUAUUGAAGAUAAUGAAGUUAGGUUGUUGUAGUAUAAUACCUGAGUGCUUCUCUACUUGCAACUAUGGGACCGUACAUGAAGAAGCAUUUAAUAAAGGGUUUUAAGAAGCAUAACAUAUUUUUAAGGCCAAAUUAUUUACAAAUAAAGUGCAACAACUACAUAAAAAAUGAAUUUUGAUGAAUCAUGAUUGAGGGCGAAUUUAAUUUUCGUAAGGAAUUAUUAUUAUUAUUUUUAAAUCAAUUUUAUCACAAUGAAAGGAUCGAUGCAAAAAUUUAGUGCUUGUUUCUAUAUACUUAGUGUUAACUACUUUUAAAAAUGGAAAAUGAUUAUAACUUUUGUAUGAAAUGUAAAUUUUUAUUAGAAAAAUAUAUACUUCUAAACAAUUUUAAAAAACUAUUAUAUUUUUAUUGUAAGUAACAAAAAGCUCUUACAUUUUAUAUAAGAGUUACUAGCUUUUUCCAUUUUAAAAAAAGAAACACGAAUUGUUCCAAACACUACAUAGUUAUUAAAAAUAUUUAAUCUAAAAAAAAAAUUAUUUUUAGUAUAAAUUGAUUCAUUUAAAAUUUUUACAUCAAUUGUUUUACGAUAACAAAAUAAUUUAAGUAUCACACACAAAGUUAUGAAAAAAAAUAUGAUAAUUUUAUUUUAAAUGAUUCAGAAUAUUUCAAUGUUUUUUAAAAUAUAUUAAUUUUUUAAAAUAAAUUUAUUUAUAGAAAACGUGCAGUAAAUAUAUAAAAGAUGGAUGUGAUGAAACAUUAAUUAAAAUGAACUUCUUUUUUCAUAAAAGAAAUUUUAAGAAAAAUUAAUUUCACCACAAAGAAAUAUUUUCAAAGAUUUAGUAAUCAAAACUAUCAUAUUUAAACUCAAUUAUUUUUAUAAUUUAUGUUUAUCCCUACAACAAUUUUUUUUUUAUAAAUAUUUUACAAUAUAAGUGUACUAAGUAUAUUAUUUACAAAAAAAAAAUAAAAAUUGACACAUAGAAUAUCAAUCUCUAUUGCAAUCUAAGAAUGCUUAGGUUCCAAAACCUCAAUUCAUUCUUGUUAGCUUAAGGGUUCUCCUAAUCAGGUUUUGAUGAUAACAAACCAUGGUUAAGUUGCUAAUUGGUUUGAAUUAUAAAGAAUUUCAUUUAUUAAUUCGAGAAUUCAUCAAAGGACCAAAUGGAUGCAAGAUCAAGACCUUUGGAAGACCUUUAAUCAUAGGAAACAUAUAUAAGAUGAAUGCAUGGGUGCACUUAGGUUUUACAUAUCAUUUCAUGCAUUUUUGAAAAACUCGGUUUAUUCUUUAAAGUUAUAGUUUCAUCAAAAUCCGAGUUUUAUCAAAUGAACCUUAGACAAAUUACUUCAAAAUUGGCAUAUUAAUUUACCUAAAGACCUUGCCUAAGUGUUAGAAGAGAAAAUAACAUAAAAAUAUAGGUUUUCAGGCAAAAAAUGGUGAACCGGUUGAGGCAUUGGCCAAUCGGCUAGGGGUACCAGUUGACCGAUUCGCUCUUCGCGAUUGACUGGUUCCCUCUUCCUGGUUGACUGGUUCUCUCUUCUCAAUCGAGGUUUGGUCGAGGAGCGCAAAAAGUACUCUUUCUUCCAGUAGCCUUUCUUUCCCGAUCGAGGUAUUUGCCAUCUUGGUCGACCUCUGGUCAAGGUCCGAUCGAGGUCCGGUCAAGGGUAAUGGUCACUUACCAAACAUUAAAUGCUCCAACGGCUAGUGAACCGGUCAACCCCAGCUCGACCGAUUGAGGCUACUUUUUGGUUUUCUUGUCUCCCGAGCUUAGAAACCUAUAAAUAGAGAGUUUCACUUCAUUUUUAAGCAAGAGAACACUUGCAUUUAUUUGUCUACCCACUUGUUCUUGCCUUAAAAGCUCUCAUUCCUUUCUUGGCGCAUUAAAUUCCCAUUUGCAUAUCCUUUAGUGCACUUUUGUGAUUCAUCCUACUCUUGAGUUGUAUUUGAGCUAUUGUUGAGUUAGGCUGAGAGAUUCAUUCUUGUUAAUUGAGUGUUAAAGCCUUCAAGUGAGUUGAAACUUGAAGAGAUUGUGUAAGAGCCCAUUAGAGUCGAAAUCCAAGUGUAAAGGUGAUUAGAAGCUUGGUUGAAGCUUCAAGUUAGUGGAAUCCUCACUCGAUUAGGAGUUUGAGGAGAGUGGACGUAGGCAAGAAAGUGUCGAACCACUAUAAAAUUUGAGUUUGCUUUCUCUAACUCUAUCUCUUUAUAUUUGCUUCUCUUGUGCUUAAAUUUGUUUGUUUAAAAAGAAUUUUUUAAAAACCCAAUUCAUCCCCCUCUUGGGUGUUUUUUCUCAUUUAAGAUUAACCUUUAUUUUCUCAAUUCUUUUCUACCAGCCAUACCUACAUUCAUGAAUUAGAAAGAAUUAUUUUACUAUACCAUAGGAAUUAUUAUAGUAAAUGGAAAAAAUACCACUAUUGAACCCCAAAGUAUCUCAUAAUUUCUUGUUUGUUAUAUCUACACCUUAAACUUGUAGCUUUGGCUCCCUAUGGUGUCACAUAUUCUUCCUUACUAUUAGGAUAUAGCCCUUAAAAAAUUUAGGGUUUAUUAUUCAUUCAAUAAAGUUCCAAUUGCACUUUAAUUAAUCAAUAGUCCAUGCAUUAUACCUUAUGAGCAUUUAGACCUACAUCUUUGCAUUGUGAGUUGUAUGGAAGAUCCAAGUCAUGGAUUCCUUACAAGUAGAUGGGUUGUUCACAACUAGUUCAUGAACUUAGACAAUAUAUUAGACUUCUUAAUUGGAGGGAUGGUUAGUCUUGGCCAUUGGGACGGGUUUCCCAUGAUGAGUGCACUAAAGUGUAUGGUUACAUAUUGGACAGGACCUAUAGUGAACCGUACUGUAAGUUUAUCAAGUUGCCAUGACUUCACUAAGCUACUUUAUUGUAUUGUCUUUCAACCUUGAAAGAAUAUUGAACUUGAGCAAAAGUUAGUAGUGACUUUAACUUACGGGUAAGAUCUUAAAGUGAUCAUAUAUUCCUUAUGGAUUGGAUCAUUGUUGAUGAAAACUACUAACAACAGGUAUUCUCAAUAUAAGCACCAUGAUAUUUAAUGGGAUUGAGACAAUGUGUUCCCUUGGGUGAUCUUAAAGAUGUGUGUUUAGGUCAACCAUGGUCAUCAUAAUUCCUUAAGUGGAACUUGACAUUAGCUCUUGGUGAGCUUAGAUAAUAUGUCAAUUGAUCACACUCUAAGAGGAUUUGGAACUCAAAGAUGGUAAAGGUAAUCUUCAAAAUUUGAUAACUUUUACCUUGUUAGAUUAUGGACACCGGUUCAUGGGGAGACGUAGUGCUUAGGUCAUAGACCGACCCAAGUACUAAGCAUCUCGUUAUAUUUACGUAGUGUAUUGGAGUGUAGUAGUUGACUCUCUACUGUCAAAUGUAAAGUAAAUUUCAGAAUUGGAUUUUGAGGGAGUCAAUACUAUCAUAGGAGUCCCAAUUAUCCUCACUUGAGCUCAUAUACCUUGACGACACAGUUUAUGAAGGUUAGAUUGACUCUUAGUUCACUUAUGUGCAUAAGGCAUGUUGAUAAUUACAUAAGGUUAAAUAGGGGUUAGUGAACAGUAUCUCUAGAUUUGGCUAAUUGAUUCAUUAUUUAGUCCUAUUGGGUUAAUUAAUCAAUUAUAACCUUUUUUAGGCUAGAUUAAGUGACCUAAGCCCAUGGUGAACUCAAGUUACUUAAGCUUAGUAGGAAUCACUAUAAAUACCCAUUUAGGGGUUAAGGUUUCAAGCUUCUUCCAUUCAUACCCUACAUUUUAAAGAGAGAUCUCAAGCCUCCACCCUCAAAACUUCCAUUAUUUAAGUGCCAAGCUUCAAGGUUGAGUCAUGGGACGGAAGAUCAUGGGUUUAUGAGAUCUCUUGCAACUUUGAAUUUGUUAUUCAUAGCAAGGAAAUGAUUUGGGAAUUCUAAAUCAAUAGUAAGCACUCUAAUCUCAUUAUCUAGAUCCUAAAAUUGAUUUUAAAUGCAUAUUUUCCACUAUGCAUAGUAAUUAGAUAAGCAUAGGGAGGAUUGCAUGUAUCUAACCUGAUUUUAGGAUAGAGAAUGGAUUAAUCAAACAUUGCCUACAACUGGUAUCAAAAGCUUAGGUUAGGGAAACAUAUGAUCCCUUUUAGGGUGUGCUAAUCCUUGUGUUAUAGGAUUUGUUAUUCAUUUGAUGGUCCUAGGGAUGAAGGUAUAUGCAUGAGAUUUUUUGAACUUUUAUUAUGAUAAAUAUAUAUAGUGAUUGAUUGUUAGAUUGGUUUUUAUUAAUCUCUAGAUGAGUUGUAAACCCCAUAAUAAGUCUUAAGAUUUUUUUAUUUGCUAUAAAAAUCUUUUUUUUUGUUUUAUAGAUUGGUUUGUGAAGUUCAAAUGAUUGGAGUAUAGGGGUUUGAUGUGAAAAUCCAGUUUACAUCUAUCUAUGUAACCCAUAAUGAGUAUGGAAGCAUUCAAAUUCUUGUACAUUCCCUUAUUGGAAAAAAAAAAGUCCUUUUAAGGAAAAUAGUUACUAGAGGUACAAAAAUUCAUUCUCAGAUUUGGUUUCAUCAAGUGCUUAAGCACUCCUUCUAACACUCAAAAGCAACAUUUAAUGCUUGAAGCAUUUCAAGCUCUCUAAAGUUCCUUCAAGUGCUCCUAAAUGUUCUAGUAUCUGUUUUAGGGUUUUUAGGGGUAAUUUUGGUCUGUUGUAAAACCACUAACGUUAUUUUUGUUAUAGGAUUUUUUGGUAUGUUUGGAUAAUGAAAAUUUAAUAUUUAGGCUACCAAAUAAGCAACAGAACCCCUAAGUCCAUGAGAUUCCCUAUUUAUUUUAUUUUAUUUUCUUUUAUGUUUCUAUUCUAUAUUACAUAUGAUAAGAAGUUGAAUAAAAAUUUUUUCAAAAAUGGUAAUUUUGGAUUUUCUUAUAGAAAAUAAAUUUUCAUGAGGAUUGUCACCAAGUAUUAUUUAUUUUAGAAUUGGAUGUUUCUAUUAUUGGAUUGGCAUCCCUUUUGGAACUUUCCUAUUGUUUCUGGUUAGGUGGUUCUCUAGGCUCUCCCCUCGUGAGAAAGAUAACAACACCAAAGAUAGUCCUCUAGGUCCUCAUGAGAAAGAGAACAACAAAAACAGGAUGUGAUUUGUCCAUAUAAAAUUGUUUUAACAAUUUUUCUAUAUAUGUUGACUGAUGGACUAAUGUGUCAUUUGAUCAAUGCUUGAUCUACAAGCCGAGACAAUAUCUUGUUUUCCCUAAAUCUUUCAUUUUAAAUUCCUUCUUUAAAUAAUUGGUUAUUUUUGUGAGCUCUUUAAGAGUCCCUGUAAGGUUCAAAUCAUCCACUUAUACUGUAAUUAUUGUGAGCUUGGAUUAUGAUUUCUUAAUAAAAACACAUGGGUAAAAUGGCUUAUUCACAUAUUACUCUUUUAAUAAAUACUCACUCAAACGAUUAUACUACAUGUGUUCAAAUUGAUUUAAUUUAUAGAGAUCUUUGUAGUUUGAUUGAGUACAUAUUUCAAGGUUUUGAAUUAGUCGUUUUCAAGUAAUUUGAAUCCUUCAAGGAUUUUCAUAUAUAUGUCAGUAUCUAUAGACCCAUAUAAAUAAGUUGUAAUAACAUCCAUGAGACGCAUAUCUAGUCCUUUAGAAACUAUUAAACUUAUCAAGUAUCGAAAUUUGAUUGUGUCCAUUGCAGGAGAAUAAUUUUCCUCAUAGUUUAUAACAGGUCUUUGCAAAAAACCUUGAACAAGUCAUGCUUUAUAUCUUGUGAUGUCAUUAUUCUCAUUUCGCUUUCUCAUAAAGGCCCAUUUAUAUCCAACAUGCUUUAUGUUUUCAAGUGUUUGAAAUACAGGUCCAAAACCUCUCAUUUUGCUAACUAGUUUAGCUCUAUAUGGAUUACUUCUUUCCAUCUUGGUUAAUCAUUCCUUUUUCGAUGUUCAUCCACAGUUUUUUGUUCUUGAUCUUCAUUAUUUAUCAUGAUGUCCAUAAUUAAUUGGAACACAAAUAUGUUGUCUAUGAUAAUGUCAUUACGGUUCCUUGUUUGUCCUAUGUGACUCAUUGAGAUCUCUUUAGUUCUAAAUACCAGUAUUUAAUCAAUUAGUGCCUCUUUAGGAGCUAACUAUUUAUCAAGUUGGGUUUUAGCAUUUGAUCCUUUCCUAUUUGUAAGCUCUUCAAGAGUACCAAGUUUUUCAUAUGUCAUUCUUUUUCUUUUUUAGAAAUUGAAUCCUUUGAGCCAAUUGGUCUACCAUGCUUUAGGCGUGUCUUACAUUCACUUGCGAUGGCAUUCUCCUAUUAUCCUUUAGGGACAUCAAUAUGUGUAAGGUAUUCACAACUUGUACGUGUGACUUUGUUACUUUCAUUAUAUUUGUCAAAGCAUCAAGUAACUAAUUUGCAAGUCCUUAUAAAUGAAUAAUGAUUACUACUCAAAAAGUGCUAUUUGAUAGCCUAUAAUUAAUCCUUUUAAACACUUUUGAGUAGUAGUUUAGGUCUUUUAACUCAAUUGGCAUGUUAAGGAUCCUUUAAAGCAAUUUUAAUCACUUUGUGCAAGUUUUGGUGUUUUUGUUAGUAUUUUGAUCACCAAAGCAAGUCAAGACUGAGGAGAGCUAUGAGGAAUCUUGGGCAAAGCUUAGAAGUCAUUUGCCAAGAGUGAAUCCGGAUUGCAAGGAGAAAAAGCAAAGAGAAUCUGCCAUAAAGCAUAUUCUUGAUGACAGCAGUAGCAGCCACUUUUGGAGCACUUUCUGAAGUCCAAAUGAUGCAUGCUAUAUACCAUUUCAAAGCUCAGGAAGUCAACAAUCCAAUGCUUCAAACGGUGUGCAAUUCAUAGUUGAAACGAAGAAGUUGCAGCCGUUACAAGACAAUCACUCCGAGCUGAAGGAAGCAUUUUGCAAAGUGCUGCGAAAUCACCCUUUUGUUGCGAAGUGAUUUCGCAGCAUUUUUGUACAGUAAGGUGUUUCUCCUUCUGACGAUGCACGAUUUAUGCCGCGAGAAGGAAGCUAGGAACCUCAAGGUAGAAGCCAACUUCGCAGCCUUGUGAAGAUAGCUUGGUGUUGCAAAAAUAUUUCGCAGCCCUCUUGAGUGUCUGCGAAAUCUCGCAGACACCAUUUUUCUCCUGCGAAAUGGUUCCUGAAGCCUCCCGAUAUUUGCUACCGACAUUGGGAGAUAUUUUCCAUUAGAUUUUUGUUGUCUAAAUCCCAAAAUACUCCUUGUAAACCACCAAUUACAUGAUUCCUUAGUUUUAAGUUAGUAAAAAGACUAAAUAUCUAUGUAAUAAUUAGUUUUAUAUUAUGUUCAUAUAUAUACCUCUCGGGAGCCUGUUCUCGGGGAGGAGUUCCUUCUGUAAAAGUUUGGGUAAGCAAGUAAAGUCUCUUUUCUUUCUACUGCCUUACCUUCUCACUUUGUAUUUUUUACUUAUUACUAAGUUAUGAACUCUCUGAGGAGUUUUCCCCAGAGAAUGAGUAACUAAACCUCUAAUUCCUUGGAGCUAAGGUUGCCGGGGGAGGUUCCAAGUGCAAGAAUGCAAAGCUUUGUGGUUUUAGCUAGUAAUGAAGAGGAAGUGAAAUCCUUCAAUGAUUUCUAUGUUUUUAGUUAACUUAAAACACCUUGGAGUCACCUAGGCCAACACUUGGUAAGGCAAGUGAUUUCCAACCAUGGAAAUGCACUAGUUUACCCCUUGCGAGCCUCUGGGAGGUGACUUGAAGGUAGGAUUUUCUAGAAUUGCCAACACUUGGUAAGCUUUUGGACUCCUAGGAGACAUCCAUUAGUUAUCUCUUGCGAGCUUUUGACGGGUAAUCCAAGGUUAAAGAUCACCUUGAAUGGUUAAGGCUUAGUGAGAGGCUUAAACCAUUGCAAGUUGCAUCAGUGAGAGAAUUAAAGUGAAAUCUAAUUGAAGGAGUCUCUGUACAUCACCGGUUAGAGAAUUGACUAUAUGUUGAAUCUCUAAUGCGAGGAAAUGAACCAUCUGACCAAAGCCGUGUCUUUUGCAUGAGGAACCACCCCAGUGAACCUAAAUCUCCAAGGAAUGCUUUUCUUCCUAAAUUAUUCCAAACUUCUGUUAUGUUAGUUAGUUUAAGUCUAAACCUUUACCAAUCAAAGUUUGUGUUUUACUUCUUAAGCUAACCUUGAAAUGAAACAAGGCCAAUUCACUUGGAAUUGGUAUCAUUGAUUGCUUGUUAAUCAUUCCCAGUGAACGAUCCUAGAGCCACUAUACUAUAGUAGCUUUGUCUUUGCUACCCUAGUAUAUGGUGUUAUAGGUUAUAAAUUUUGUUGAUUACUCCCUCAAUCAAGGAGCACCAGCUGGACACAAAUCAGCUGAGACACCAAUUGGGCACGAAUCAAAUAAUCCUAUGAAAUUCUAAUUAACACUGCCUUGCACGAGGAUCAAGAUGAGACAAAGAGGAUACAUAACAUGUAAUGUCUCGCCAUUGUUCUGGAUUUGAUUUGUCACCCGUAAUGGUGGGAAAACAUUUUCAUCAAAAUGAAAAUCUACAAAGUGGGCAAUAAAAACAUCGCUUAUUAAAUGUUCAAGAUAGCUAAUAAUGGAGGGAGAAUUAAAACCAACAUAUAUACCAAGUAGAUGUCGAGGACAUAACUUAAAACAUUGAGGUAGAGCUAUGGGAACAUAGACAAUACAACCAAAAAUAAGUAAAUAUGAAACAUUUAGUUGGGAGCCUAAAAUAAGUUGUAAAUGUGAGAAUUCAUGAAGUUGUAGAACAAAAUGUGAAUUAAAGUAACUACAUGGAGAAUAGCAUGUCCCCAAGUAGAUAAAGGCAAUUUUGUUCUCAGGAAUAACGGUUUUGCAAUCAAUUGCAAAUGCUUAAUAAGAGAUUUAGCUAAUCCAUUUUGAGUGUUAGUAUGAGCAAUAGGAUGUUCAACAUCAAUACUAACCGACAUACAAUAAUCAAGAAAUAUUUGGGAAGAGAAUUCACUAGAAUUAUCAAGACAAAUUGUCUUAACAGGGUUGUGAAACCAAGGUUUGGUCAAUCUUAGUUUUGAUGAUAACAAAAUAAGGUUUGGAAUUAAUGAUUAUAUUUCAAUUGUGAUUAGUCGAGAUGACUUUCAAAGUGGCAAUCAUAAAGACAAAAUCAAGCCAAAGGGAAAUCAAUAAGGUGAAGAAGACCUCAAAGAGAAAUGUCUUUCAAGACCUAAGUUUCAUAGGAUCUCUUUGUAAGGUUGUUAGUGCAUUUGUUUUUUUUUAUGCAUUACAUUAUUUACUUAUGCACCAAAACCAUCCAAGAGUUAUUUUGUUUCAAAUAUUUUAAAAUCGGAUGAUUUCAUGUUUUCUAAACUUUUUAAAAAGGUUUUAAGUUAAAAAAAAAUGGUUGUUAAGCCAAAAAUGGCUCAACCGGCUAAACUGGCUAAAGAACUGAUUGACCUAUUUAGUUCAACCGAUCGAAUUAUGCAAAAACCUUCUCUAUAUUCUAGAAUGCUUUUUCGACCGGUCGAGGCUAAACCUCAUCUAGUUGAGUACGAAUCGAGGGGUGGUCAAGAGACGAUUGAGGUCCAUUGGUCACCUGCCAUGCAUUAAACGUCAACGGUUAAUGAACUCAUCGAAUUAGAGCUCAACUGGACGAACCCCUAACAGCUAGUUUAACAUUUUUCUUCUAUAACUAGUCUUCAUUGUUUUAAGAGCUUAACCUUCCAAAACCUUUCUUGAAUAUACUUAAGCCUUGGGAGAGUGUUUUUGAGUGCAUCAUUAUUAUGAAACUUGCAUAUCAUUAACGCACUUUUCAAUCCUAGUUUAUCUCUUAUCAUUUGAGCCUAAAGUUUUGUACUAGGGUUUUGUGAGAUUAUUUUUCAUCCUUAUUUGUAAAUCUUUGAGAAGAAAAGGCUAAGUGUGAGGUAUCACUUAAGGAUUCUCAAGUGUGAGGUAUCACUUUAGGGGUUGUUCAAGAGUGAGGUAUCUCUUGAGGAUUGUAAAGGGUGCUUGGAGCCAAAAGUCCAAGAGGAUUGAUUGGAACCAUAAUCCAAUUGGAUUGCUUGAAGGCUUGGAUUGGAAGCCUUGAAUUAGUGAAACCUCAAGCUUGGGAUUGAAGCUAGAGAAGAGUGAACGUAGGCCAAGUUCCGCCAAACCAUUAUAAAAAUCUUAUGUUUGCAUUCGGGAUCCCAAGUCAUUCAUAUCAUCCAUAACCCUGAGUUGUUCAUAUGAUCCAGAGCCCUGAGCUCACGACUUAGAGUAGCACAUGUCAUCCAUAAUCCUAAUCUUUUUAUAGAAUCUAGAGCCAUGGGUUCACAACCAAAAUCAUUCACAUCAAUCAUAACCUUUUAUCUCAUGACCCAAAGACAUUUAUAUCAUACAUGACAUUGAGCCGUUCAUAACAUCAAGAGCCCUAAACUCCUGGCUCGGAUUAGUUAUUGUCAUCCAUAGCCCUGAGUUUUUCAUAGCAUCUAGAGCCUGGAGCUCACGACCUGGAGUAGUUCAUGUCUUCCACAGCCCUGAGUUAUUCAUAACAUCUAGAGCCCUAAGCUCAUGACCUGUAGUUGUUCAUGUUAACCACAACCCUAAGUUAUUCAUUGCAUCUAGAGUCUUAAGCUCAUAACCCCAAGUCGUUUAUAUCAUCCACGAACUUGAGUUGUUCAUAGAAUUUAGAGACCUAAGCUCACGAGGUGAAGUGGUUCAUAUCCUACACUUCCUUAUGUUUUUUGUAGCAUUUAGAGACCUAAGCUCAUAACAUGCAGACAUUCAUGUCCUCCACCGCCCUAAGUUGUUCAUAGCAUUUAGAGCCUUGAGCUCAUGACUCAGAGUCGUAGAUGUCAACCAAAGUCCUGAGCUGUUCAUUUCAUUUAGAGCCCUAAGCUAAUGACCUCAAGUCAUUUAUGUCAUUCACAAUCCUAAGCUAUUCAUGAAAUUCAGAGACCUGAGCUCAUGACAUGGAAUCAUUCAUGUGCUCUACCACUCAAAUCUUUUCAUAGAUCUAGACCUAUAAGAUCACAACCAAAAUCGUUCAUGUCAUCCAAAAUCCCGAGUUGUUCAUUUUAAUAGCCUUGAGCUCACGACCUAAAGUCAUUGAUGUCAACCACAACCCUAAGUUGUUCAUAAAAUCUAGAGCCUUAAGGUCACGACCCAGAGUCGUUCAUGUCAUCCACAACCCUGAGCUAUUCAUAGUAACUAGAGCCUUUGGCUUACAACGAAGAAAUGUUCAUAUCAUCCACAACUUUGAGCUAUUCAUAGCUUCUAAAGCCCCAAGCUCAUAGUACCCUGAGUUGUUCAUGUCUUCCAUAACCCUCUACUCUUCAUACCCGUGAUUUUCUACCAAAAAUUGCCAUGAAAAAGUCUUCACAUGCAUCUCAUGCAUCCUCUUGCAGUCGUCUGAAGACAAGUCAGUGUGCUUUGCUUCACUAAAAUUCAACGUGCACCAAGUCUCUAUGUAAAGAUGAGUCGGUUGCAACCCUCCUAAAAUUUCUCCAUUAACGGAUCCCAAGUAUCUCCACCAAAAUCAUACAAAGAUAAAUACAAAAAAUAAAAAUUAGAAAUUAGAUAAUAUUUUAAAAUAAAUAAAUAAAUAAAUAAAAUCUCAAAUGAUGCAAUGAGGGCAAAAAAAAAAAAAAAAGAAUAUCAAUCACAUACGUAGUUAAGUAGAAAAAAGAAUAUUAUUCCAUGUAACUUAAAAGAUUAGAUUCAAAAUCUCAAGCAAUUUCCUAAAAAAUAAAUAAAUGAAUGAAUGAAUAACCUAACAAAAGAAUAAGUAAAUAAAUGAACAAAUAAAUAUCACAUGGGCAAUUAGAAUUUGAAAAUAAAAAUAAAGCAAUAGAAAACAAUGAAAAACGGAUGCAAUCAAGAAUCAAAAUCAAGUCCAAACAAAUGUCCAAAAUGACCUAUUAUGAAAAAAGUGCCUAAGUGACCUAGGGUGAAUGUGUGCAAGCUGGAAGGUGCCUAGGUCAAUCUAAGUGGGCCUAGGUGAACCUAGAUGAGUCUAACCUAAAGUGCAAAUUAAGGUUGCCGAGGGUCACAAUGGGGUUAGAUAAAUCUCUCGAUCAGAGUCUUCGAGGUGGCUCAAAAAAGGUAAGUAUAGUAUGAGUAACAAUGGACCACCAAGGAACUACUAUGGAGCACUAGAAGUGAACUUAAAGACAUGUGCUAAAGGGACAAAAUCAAGGGUCUACAUAUAUGUUUAAUUUACUUUAAACAUUUGAAUAACAUUGUUUUUAUUUAUAAAAAUAAAAUAAAUUUUAAAAAUCAAAUUUCAUUUCUUUUACAACAUACAUUUAUAUUAAAUUAUUUAUAAUUAUUAAUUAAUUUGCUAUUAAAAAUAUAAUAAUAAUAUAUCUUAACAAGGAAAUUUUGAAUUCUUGAAAAAAUGUUUAAAAUAAUUGUUAUAAAUGAAGUGGUGAAUGCCACCACAUCGUUAUAAUAAAUGUUAAUUAAACAUUAUUUAUGACUUCUAUUAAUUCAAUAUUAAUGGAAGCCAUUUAGAAAGUCUAUAGAAAGGUUUCCCAUCCCCUAUGCAAGGAGCAUCCUGAGAAAAGAAGCAGUCUCUCAUUCUCUCUGUUUUUCAUUCUCUCAUCUCUCCUAAUUUUCUUCUCUAAUUUCUUUCUCCCCAUUAUAUAUUGUUAAAGUAAUAUAUAUUUGUCUCUACUUUUAUUUGCAUUUAUUAUGGUUUUGCAACAAUAAUUUUUAUUUUUAUUUUUCUAUUUUAAAUACACAAAACUUGGGUUCACAUUUUGGUUGUUAAGUGGUCUUAACAUUUCUAUGUGUUUUAAAUAUGGUUCCUGCUUUUUAUUUUUAAAAUAGUAAUAACAGUAAUCAUUAGUAUAAUGUACAUAAAAAUAAUACUUGUAAAGAAAGAAAAAAGAAGAAGUAGUUUUUAAGAUAAUAGAAUGGUAUAAUGUAUGACUAUUGAAAUGUUAAUCAAGCUAAAUAUUAACAAAGUUUUAUUUUACCAUUGCAUAUAUUUUUAAAUGAUACAUUUAUAUUAUGUAAUAGAAUUAGAAACAUGAAUAUUUUUACAUUUCAUUGUUUAUCCUAAUUAUGAUAUAAUAUGCUAAAUUUUAACUAUAAAAAGAUGAAAUAAUUUUAAUUAUUUGUAUAUUUUUAAUUUUCAUUAUAUGUAAAUUACAUAUUUAUCAUGUAUGUUCACAUCAUUAUUCUACGUAAUUCAAUCAUUGAUCUAACCAGUGAACUAUUGAUCGAUUUUUAUUUAAUAACUGGUUCGACUUUGAAAAUAUUGUGAGAUACAUCAAGAUGCUUUUUUUAAAUAAAAAAAAUUAUUUAUUAGUUUUAAGAGAAUAUCUAUUAAUGUUUUCAUUUAUGAACAUGAAAUAAUUUUUUUAAAAUCAAAUUUCCUUUGUUUUAUAAUAUGUAUUUUAUUUUAAAAUAUUAUUAAUAAUUAUUGAGUAAUCUGCUAUUAAAAAUAUCACAAUAAUACCUUUAUAUCUUCAUAAGGAAAUGUUGGAUUCAAAAAAUGUUUUAAAACAAUUAUGAUUGGACUUCUUGGUUUCGGUUAAUAUUCCAUGCCUUAAUUACAGUCUUAAUUUGGGAUUGAAUUAGGGUUGUAACUAGAUUGGAAUGCUAACUUUGGCUAUGCCUUUCUAGCUUCAUCAACUGAUCCUGAAGCCUCUGUUAUAUUGGCUUCAGUGGCAUCCACUGCCUUUAUUCUAUAAAUAAAAUAAAAUAAAUUACAACCGGAAAGUUUAAUUUGUAAUGUGAUUUUUAAAAAUUUAAGUCCAAUAUAUAUUAUUUACUCAUAAUAAUAAUAGUUUUAUAUCUUUAGAAUAAAUUAUUAAUUCCUGAAAAGUGUUUUAAAAUAUUUAAUUUUUUUUAAUAAACAAAAUUCACAAUUUUGGUUGUUGAGUGGUCCUAACAUAUUUCUUUUAUUUUUCUUUUAUUGUUUAUAGUAAGUCUCCAAGACCUUCCUUGGUAACACGAACUCUUCACCAACCAACCUCACAGGCUCCGCUCCAUAGAGGCAACUUCACAUCUAUGUGGGAACCAACCAAAAUUGAAAAGAAAAAAAAUCUACGAAUUAUUUAAUUUAGGAAACUUCCACCAACCGACACUCGUUGAACUUGGACACCGUAUGUCAUUUGGAUGAAAUUUUAUUUUAUUUUAUUUUUCUUUCUAUUUAAAAAAUAAAUAUUUUUAAAUUUCAAAAUAAAUAUAUUUUAUUAGUUUUGUUUUACGCUUCUCAUAGUCUCAAAAAGACUAUUGAGAAAUUUAAAAACAGAAAAAAAUAUAUGAAUCCAACCAUUUACAAAUUAAAUUCAAUUUUCGUUAUAAAAUGAGAAAUAAAAAUAAAAGCACAAAUAUAUAUUUCUAGGAAGUAGGGUAUUCAAGUUGAGGUUUGUUCGGAAUGCUGCCAAAUAUUUUAACGCAAGAAAAAUGCUUCAGCCAAAACAAUGGUCAAAUGAGGCAGCGCAAGAGAUUUAUCCCUUUUUAAAAAAUCGCAACUGGAGGGUGGAGGCUGAAGGGCGGAUGUCAUACAAAAUUGACUACUUUCUCAGUAAUCCCCUCCACGUGACUCAAAUCAGCACGGAAGUAUUGAACAAGACCCCACCACCAGCUACAAGUGGGUUGGAAGUGGACACAGCAUUUCUGAUACUUAUAAAUACCCAACGCUCACACACUGCUUUGGCAACCCAUCUUCAAGCACCAGUCCGCAUACUCUUCUCUUUUCUUCUACCGCUUUGAAGCUCUGUGGGGGAUUUUACUAGUCAUCAAUGGCAUCUGUGGAGGACAUUAGAAACGCUCAACGUGCCAAGGGGCCGGCCACCAUUCUAGCCAUUGGCACUGCUACUCCAGACAACUGUGUCUACCAGUCCGAUUACGCUGAUUACUAUUUCCGGGUCACUAAAAGCGAGCACAUGACCGACUUGAAGAAGAAGUUCAACCGCAUAUGUAAGUAUAUAUAUUCAUGCAUCAAUUGGAACAUCCAUUACAUACAUAUAUGUAUAAUUAUCAUAAUGCUUUAAGAUUCCCCUGCAAGAAUUGCCAAGUUUUCUUCAAGCUUCCUGUGUGUUGCUUUUCUGUAAACUAAUUAAAUCUGUGAAAAAUGAGGCGCUAUACAUUGAUUUAAUAUUUCGUAAUAGCGCUGCUCUUUCCAAUCCUAUAUAAAUUAAUUGCCCUGCCUAGGAACACAUAGUUAUUGUAAUAAUAAGUAAUAAUCUAUUUUAUAUUUAUGUUGAUCAUCUUGAGUGAUAAUGAAGCUGCCCAUUAUUACUGAAUGAAUUUUGCUUUGCUAGUCCAUUAGCUAAUAUAUUAAAUUCCUUUAACUUAUAUAUAGGUGAGAAAUCAAUGAUCAAAAAGCGAUACAUUCAUUUGACUGAAGAAAUGCUUGAAGAGCACCCAAACAUGGGUGCUUACAUGGCUCCAUCGCUCAACAUACGCCAAGAAAUUAUCACUGCUGAGGUACCUAAGCUUGGUAAGGAGGCCGCAUUGAAGGCUCUUAAAGAGUGGGGCCAGCCUAAGUCCAAGAUCACUCACCUUGUAUUUUGUACAACUUCGGGAGUAGAAAUGCCGGGUGCAGACUAUAAACUAGCCAAUCUUCUAGGCCUCGAAACAUAAGUUAGAAGAGUGAUGUUGUAUCAUCAAGGCUGCUAUGCAGGUGGGACCGUUCUCCGAACUGCUAAGGAUCUCGCAGAGAAUAAUGCAGGAGCACGAGUUCUUGUGGUAUGCUCUGAAAUCACGGUUGUUACUUUUCGUGGGCCUUCUGAAACCCAUUUAGACUCUUUAGUGGGUCAAGCCCUUUUUGGUGAUGGGUCAGCAGCUGUAAUUGUUGGAUCAGAUCCAGAUACCUCCAUUGAACGACCACUCUUCCAACUUGUUUCAGCGGCCCAAACAUUCAUUCCUAAUACACAAGGUGCUAUUGCUGGCAACUUACGAGAGGUGGGUCUAACCUUUCAUUUGUGGCCUAAUGUGCCUACUCUCAUUUCUGAGAAUAUAGAGAAGUGCUUGACUCAAGCUUUUGGCCCACUUGGUAUUAGUGAUUGGAACUCCUUGUUUUGGAUCGCUCAUCCAGGUGGCCCGGCCAUUCUGGAUGCAGUCGAAGCAAAACUCAAUUUGGAGAAGAAGAAACUUGAAGCAACAAGACACAUCUUAAGUGAGUACGGUAAUAUGUCAAGUGCAUGUGUGUUGUUUAUUUUGGAUGAGAUGAGAAAGAAAUCACUUAAGGAAGAAAGGACCACCACAGGUGAAGGAUUGGACUGGGGUGUUUUAUUUGGUUUUGGGCCAGAUUUGACCAUUGAAACUGUUGUGCUGCAUAGCGUUGUUGGGGCUACAAAUUGAGUGAAAGGAGACAAUUUCAAAUUAAAUCAAAUAGGAGUUAAUAAAGACAUAUGUCUUUUAUUUGUAACAUCUUUUAUUCUUUAUUUAAAUUGAUGUUUGUGGUUUAAAUUAGUGCUUGUCGGAGGGCUUCAUUAGUAACCUCAAGUUAAAAGGGAUGAGACAUCAAGUUCUUACAGUUUUGUUAUCCAGAUGAAAUUCCCUCAAAAGUUGUAUAAACAUCCACCGUGUUCUUUUAAAGAUUGUUGAGAGUAAUACAAAGAAAAGAAUAAAAUAAUAAAUUGCAUUUUCCCUUUGUAACUAAGAAGUCUGCUGCAUGAUAGCUGCAUUUGUGUGACAGAAGCAAAGCCAUGUGGAUGCCAAAAGUAAUGCAACAAUUUUAAAAGAGUAAACAGGGCGGUUGAUUAGUUAACUUCCAUAAUUCCGCAACAUUUGAUUCAAAAGACUUUAGCUUUAUCAAUUACUUAACUACUACUCCGUAUGUGGAUAAAUUCUUGUACCAUCUGAAAAGGUAUAGAAGAUAGUUAUCCUCAUAAAUAGGUUGCCUAAUUAAUUAGGUGAUCUUCAAUAAUUCAACAAGAUAGGGAUUUUAAAAUAUUUUUACUUUAUUAAUUCCUUAACUACUCCUUAAACUUCUUUUUUUCCCCUUUUUGUGAAAAGCUCUUUACCCUCAAUACAUAUGAUAUAUUCCGUUGCUAGGAACUUGGGUUUGAGUAUGUAUUAAUUACUAUUCUUAAUCAAAUUUAUUAUUGAAAAAUUAUUUUUAGUUAUGGUUUUUUUAAUAUACUUAUUACACAUUUAUCAUAUGUACUUGUUUAAUAUACUUCUAAUAUAUUUAUCAUUCAACAACAAAUACGAGAAAAGGUAUAAAAGACAAUGAAAUUACAAACUAAAUUGCCUUCAGUUUUUUUAUAGUUGAAGGCCUUCUUUUCCACCCCCAGUCUCCAAUAAAUUAGACUCUACAAAGCUUCUUCUAUGCUACUCUCUGAUUCUACUUCUAGUGCAAAGAUUUUGCAGUACUCUACAUUAUCUUGCUAUUGCUAAGAGACAAUCCAAGAAUAUUGAAGAUAAUGAAGUUAGGUUGUUGUAGUAUAAUACCUGAGUUCUUCUCUACUUGCAACUAUGGGACCGUACAUGAAGAAGCAUUUAAUAAAGGGUUUUAAGAAGCAUAACAUAUUUUUAAGGCCAAAUUAUUUACAAAUAAAGUGCAACAACUACAUAAAAAAAUGAAUUUUGAUGAAUCAUGAUUGAGGGCGAAUUUAUUUUUCGAAAUUAAUAAUUUUAAAAAAAAAAAUCCAUUUCAUCACAAUGAAAGAAUUAAUGCAAAAAUUUAGUGCUUGUUUCUAUAUACUUAGUGUUAGCUACUUUUAAAAAUGGAAAAUGAUAAUAACUUUUGUAUAAAAUGUAUUUUUUUUUUUUUUUUGUAGAAAAAUAUAUACUUCUAAACAAUUUUUUAAAAAUAUUAUAUUUUUAUUGUAAGACUUAGAAAGCUCUUAUAUUUUAUAUUAGAGUUACUAGCUUUUUCUAUUUUAAAAACAAGAAACACGAAUUGCUCCGAACACUAAAUAGUUAUUAAAAAUAUUUAAUCUAAUUUUUUUUAUUUAGUAUAAAUUGAUUAAUUUAAAAUUUUUACAUCAACUGUUAUAUGAUAACGAAUAAUUUAAGUAUCACAUACAAAGUUAUGCAAAAAAAAUUGAUAAUUUUAUUUCAGAUGAUUCACAAUAUUUCAAUGUUUUUUAAAAUAUAUUAAUUUUAAAAAAUAAAUUUAUUUAUAGAAAACAUGCAGUAAAUAUAUAAAAGAUGGAUCUGAUGAAACAUUAAUUAAAGUGAACUUCUUUUUUCAUAAAAACAAUUUUAAGAAAAUUAAUUUCACCACAAAGAAAUAUUUUCAAAGAUUUAGUAAUCAAAACUAUCAUAUUUAAACUCAAUUAUUUUUAUACUUUAUGUUCAUCCCUACAACGAUUUUUUUUAAAAAUUAUUUUAAUAUGAGUGUACUAAAAGUAUUAUUUACCAAAAAAAAAUUAUUAUUGACACAGAAUAUAAAUCUCUAUUGCAAUCUAAGAAUGCUUAGGUUCCAAAACCUUGAUUUAUUCAUUUUUGCUAACCAUACCUACAUUCACGGAUUAUAAAGAAUCAUUUAACUAUACCAUAGAAAUUAUUAUAGUAAAUAGAAAAAAUACCAUUAUUAAACCCCACAAUAUCUCAUAAUUUCUUGUUUGUUAUAUCUACACCUUAAACUAGUAGCUUUGGCUCCCUAUGGUGUCACAUAUUCUUCCUUACUAUUAGGAUAUAGCCCUUAAAAAAUUUAGGGUUUAUUAUUUAUUCAAUAAAGUUCAAAUUUCACUUUAAUUAAUCAAUAGUCCAUGGAUUAUACCUUAUGAGCAUUUAGACCUACAUCUUUGCAUUAUGACUUGUAUGGAAGAUCCAAGUCAUGGAUCCCUUACAAGUAGAUGGGUUGUUCACAACUGGUUCAUGAACUUAGACAAUCUAUUAGACUUCUUAAUUGGAGGGAUGGUUAGUCUUGGCCAUCGGGAUGGGUUUCCCAUGAUGAGUACACUAAAGUGUAUGGUUACAUAUUGGAUAGGACCUAUAGUGAACCAUAAUGUAAGUUUAUCAAGUUGUCAUGACUUCACUAAGCUAUGUUAUUGUAUUGUCUUUCAACCUUGAAAGAAUAUUGAACUUGAGCAGAAGUUAGUAGUGACUUUAACCUAUGGGUAAGAUCUUAAAGUGAUCAUAUAUUUCUUAUGGAUUGGACCACUGUUGAUGAAAACUACUAACAAUAGGUAUUCUCAAUAUAAGCACCAUGAUAUUUAAUGGGAUUGACACAGUGUGUUCCCUUGGGUGAUCUUAAGGAUGUGUGUUUAGGUCAACCAUGGUCAUCAUAAUUCCUUGAGUGGAAUUUGAUAUUAGUUUUUGGUGAGCUUAGAUAAUAUGUCAAAUGAUCACACUCUAAGAGGAUUUGGAACUCAAAGAUGGUAGAGGUAAUCUUCAAAAUUUGAUAACUUUUACCUUAUUAGAUUAUGGACACCGGUUCAUGGGGAGAUGUAGUGCUUAGAUCACAGACCGACCCAAGUACUAAGCAUCUCGUUAUAUUUACAUAGUGUAUUGGAGUGUAGUAGUUGACUCUCUAUUGUUGAAUGUAAAGUUAAUUUCAGAAUUGGAUUUUGAGGUAAUCAAUACUAUCCUAUGGGCCUUAAUUGUCCUCACUCAAGCUCAUAUACCUUGAUGUCACAGAUUAUGAAGGUUGGAUUGACUCUUAGUUCACUUAUGUGCAUAAGGGCAUGUUGGUAAUUACACAAGGUUGAAUAAGGGUUAUUGAAUGGUAUCUUUGGAUUGGGCUAAUUGAUUCAUUAUUUAGUCCUAUUAGGUUAAUUAAUCAAUUAGGACCUUUUGUAAGCUAAAUUAAGUGACCUAAGACCACGGUGGACUCAAGUUACUUAAGCUCAGUAGGAAUCACCAUAAAUACCCCUUUAGGGGUUAGGGUUUCAAGCUUCUUCCAUUCAUACUCUACAUUCCAAAGAGAGAGGUCUAGCCUCCACACUCAAAACUUCCACUAUUUAAGUGCCAAGCUUCAAGGUUGAGUCAUUGAAUGGAAGAUCAUGGGUUUAUGAGAUCUCUUACAACUUCAAAUUUGUUCUUCAUAGCAAGGAAAUGAUUUGGGAAUUCUAAAUCAAUAGUAAGCACUCUAAUCUCAUUAUCUAGAUCCUAAAAUUGAUUUUAAAUGCAUAUUUUCCUAUGCAUAGUAAUUAGAUAAGCGUAGGGAGGAUUGCAUGUAUCUAACCUAAUUUUAGGAUAGGAAACAGAUUAAUCAAACAUUGCCUACAACUGGUAUCAAAACCCUAGGUUAGGGAAAAGCAUGAUCCCUUUUAGGGUGUGCUAAUCCUUGUUUUGUAGGGUUUGUUAUUCAUUUGAUGGUCCUAAGGAUGAAAAUAUAUGCAUGAGAAUUUUAAACUUUUACUAUGAUGAAUAUAUAUAGUGAUUAAUUGUUAGAUUGGUUUGUUUAAAUCUAUCGAUGAGUUGUAAGCCCCAUAAUAAGUCUAAGAUUUUUUUAUUCAAUGUAAAAAUCUUUUGUUUUUUUAUAGAUCAGUUUGUAAAGUUCAAAUGAUUGGAGUGUAGGGUUUUGAUGUGAAAAUCCAGUUUUCAUCAAUCUAUGUAACCCAUAAUGAGUAUGGAAGCAUUCAAAUUCUUGUACAUUCCCUUAGCAGAAAAAAGAGUCCUUUUAAAGCAAACAGUGACUAGAGGUACAAAAAUUCAUUCUCAGAUUUGGUCUCAUGAAGUGCUCAAGCACUCCUUCUAACACUCAAAAGCAACAUUUAAUGCUUGAAGCAUUUCAGGCUCUCUAAAGUUCCUUCAAGUCCUCCAAAAUAUACUAGUAACAGGUUUUUAAGGGUAAUGUUGGUCUUUUGUAAAGCCACUAACCUUAUUUUUGUUAUAGGAUUUUUUGGUAUGUUUGGAUCAUGAAAAUCCAAUAUUUGGGCUACCAAAUAAGAAACAGGACCCCUAAGUCCAUGGGAUUCCCUCUUUUUUAUUUUAUUUUCUUUUAUGCUUCUAUUUUAUAUUGCAUAUGAUAAGAAGUUGAAUAAAAAGUUUUUCAAAAAUGGUAAAUUUGGAUUUUCUUAUGGAAAAAAAAAAUCACGAGGAUUAUCAUCAAGUAUUAUUUAUUUUAGAAUUGGAUGUUUCUAUUAUUGGAUUGACAUAUCUUUUGGAACUUUCCCAUUAUUUCGGGUUAGGUGGUUCUCUAGGCUCUCCCCUCGUGAGAAAGAGAACAACACCAAAGAUAGUCCUUUAGGUCCUUGUGAGAAAGAGAAUAACAUCAAUUGGAUGUGAUUUGUCCAUAUAAAAUUGUUUUAACAUUUUUUCUAUAUAUGUCGAUUGAUGGAUUAAUAUGUCAUUUGAACAAUGCUCGAUCUAUAAGUCGAGACAAUAUCAUGUUUUCCCCGAAUCUUUCAUUUUAAAUUCCUUCUUUAAAUAAUUGGUUGUUUUUGUGAGCUCUUUAGGAGUCCUUAUAAGGUUCAAAUCAUCCACAUAUACUGUAAUUAUUGUAAGCUCGUAUUAUGAUUUCUUGAUAAAAACACAUGGGCAAAUUGGCUUAUUCAAUGUCACUCUUUUAAUAAAUACUCACUCAAAUGAUUAUACUACAUGUGUUCGAAUUGCUUUAAUUCGUAUAGAGAUCUUUGUAGUUUGAUUGAGUACAUAUUUCAAGGUUUUGAAUUAGUUGUUUUCCAGAAAAAUAUUUAAGGGAUUUUCAUAUAUAUGUUAGUAUCUAUAGACCCAUAUAAAUAAGUUGGAAUAACAUCCAUGAGACACCACUACUACAAAAAUAGUUUAUGGUGUCACUAUUUACGGUGUCACUUUUAAAAUAAUGACACCAUAGGGUUUAUAAUUAAUAAAGGUGACACAUCAUAUAAAAAAUCUUCAAUUGAGGUAGUUAAAUGAUAUUAAUUUUAUAUUUAUAGUGUCAUUUUUUGGGAAGUGACAUCAUAUAAAAUAAAUUUUUUUAAGUAUUAUAACUUAAUGAGCCCACUUUUAGAAUUAAUAAUGAUGGAUCCUAUAUAAAAAUCCCAUUGUUUCCAUAUCUCACCCACAAUCCAAAAAAUCUCAAUAUAUAAAUCCUAUAUAUAAAAUCAUGAUCUUCUUCAACCUUUUCUCUCACCCAUCCAUAGUCAACACGCUCAAAACUGACAUUUUUCACUUUGUGGACUCCUAGGUAACCCAAAAUCUCUUGGAUCUAUCAUUUUUUUUUCUUUUAUUAAUGUCAUUAUAUUAAUUGUUUCAACAUCUUUGUAUUAUGGUUUUUGUGAAUUGUGUUUUCUUGAGUUGUAGGGAAGAAAAAUUUAGGUUUAAUCUUCUAGCAUGGAAGAAAAAACUAUAGAUUAGUUGAUUUUUUUUAAUCUAAACCAAACACAUGAUCAAGUCCUUAAAAAAAAGUGAAAAACAGGAAAAAAUGAAUGAUUUUUAAUAUGUAUUUGUGUGAGAAUGACAGGUACAGAAUUUUUUUAAGAUAUACUAUCACAUAAUCUUCAUGCUUUCUAAAAAACGAGAGAGGAAAAAAAAAAGAAUGAUUUUUCUGUUUGUAUCUAAGUGGGAAUGAGAUAUAGAAUUUCGUUGAGAGUAUCCAACCCCAAAAGGACCAAUCCGAGAAGGCAUGUGUGGUAUUGACGGGAGAUGAUAAGAUGGAAAUCAUAACCAUAGCCAUGUUCUCUCUGUGUCGUUCUAUCCUCUUCAAUUAAUUCAUGGUCAUAUAUAUUUUAUUUAGUUUUUAUAUUUAGUUUAUUUAUAGUUUAUUUAGUUUCUAAAAUCCAAUUAGUUAAAUAUUUUAUUUGAUUUUGUUUUUAUAUUUAAGUAUUUGAGUUUUGGAAAGUUUAUAUUUUGUUAAUAGAAAUAGAAAUUUUUAUAUUUUUUAUUAUUAGGAAUUUCUAUUUUGUUAAAUUGUAAGUAUUUAUCUCAAUAAGAGAUUAUUAAUAUUCAAAUGAAAGUGAUGAAAGAGAGUAAAUAUUUUUAAUGCUCAAUUAUAUUUUAAUGUUAUUUUUUUUUUACAUAAGGGUUUAUUUAUGUUUUCAAUUUUGAAGUUCCCUUUCCAAGUCCAGCAACAAAAGUAGUGUCCAACCUUAAAAUGGGCAUGUGUGGUAUUGACGGGAUAUGAUAAGAUGGAAAUCAUAACCAUAGCCAUGUUCUCUCUGUGUCUUUCUAUCAUCUUCAAUUAAUUCAUGGGCAUAGAUAUUUUAUUUAGUUUUUAUAUUUAGUUUAUUUACAGUUUAUUUAGUUGCUAAAAUCCAAUUAGCUAGAUAUUUUAUUUGAUUUUAUUUUUAUAUUUAAGUAGUUGAGUUUUGGAAAGUUUUUAUAUUUUGUUAAAUUGUAAGUAUCUAUCUCAAUAAGAGAUUAUUAAUAUUCAAAUGAAAGUGAUGAAAGAGAGUAAAUAUUUUAAUGCUCAAUUAUAUUUUAAUGUUUUUUUUUUUUUACAUAAGGGUUUAUUUAUGUUUUCAAUUUUGAAGUUCCCUUUCCAAGUCCAGCAACAAAAGUAGUGUCCAACCUUAAAAUGGGCAUGUGUGGUAUUGAUAGGAAAUGAUAAGAUGGAAAUCAUAACCAUAGUCAUGUUCUCUCUGUGUCUUUCUAUCUUCUUCAAUUAAUUCAUGGGCAUAGAUAUUUUAUUUAGUUUUUAUAUUUAGUUUAUUUAGUUUCUAAAAUCCAAUUAGCUAGAUAUUUUAUUUGAUUUUGUUUUUAUAUUUAAGUAGUUGAGUUUUGGAAAGUUUUUAUAUUUUGUUAAUAGAAAUAGAUAUGAGGACUUAAAGGGUUUAUAUUUAGGUAGUGCUUGAGCCAAGGAAAAUGAUAGUCAACUAUCUUGACCCUAUGCAUCACAAACCAUGUGANNNNNNNNNNNNNNNNNNNNNNNNNNNNNNNNNNNNNNNNNNNNNNNNNNNNNNNNNNNNNNNNNNNNNNNNNNNNNNNNNNNNNNNNNNNNNNNNNNNNAUUGUAAGUAUCUAUCUCAAUAAGAGAUUAUUAAUAUUCAAAUGAAAGUGAUGAAAGAGAGUAAAUAUUUUAAUGCUCAAUUAUAUUUUAAUGUUUUUUUUUUUUUACAUAAGGGUUUAUUUAUGUUUUCAAUUUUGAAGUUCCCUUUCCAAGUCCAGCAACAAAAGUAGUGUCCAACCUUAAAAUGGGCAUGUGUGGUAUUGAUAGGAAAUGAUAAGAUGGAAAUCAUAACCAUAGUCAUGUUCUCUCUGUGUCUUUCUAUCUUCUUCAAUUAAUUCAUGGGCAUAGAUAUUUUAUUUAGUUUUUAUAUUUAGUUUAUUUAGUUUCUAAAAUCCAAUUAGCUAGAUAUUUUAUUUGAUUUUGUUUUUAUAUUUAAGUAGUUGAGUUUUGGAAAGUUUUUAUAUUUUGUUAAUAGAAAUAGAUAUGAGGACUUAAAGGGUUUAUAUUUAGGUAGUGCUUGAGCCAAGGAAAAUGAUAGUCAACUAUCUUGACCCUAUGCAUCACAAACCAUGUGAGGACUUAAAGGAUAUCAUAAACAUGUAAGUUCUUCCUAUUAUUUUUCAUAGUAUUAUUUUUAAAUAAAAAAAAUACAUUCACCUCAAACACAUUUUUUUUAUUAUUUAUAUAUAUUAAAACAUAUAACAUUUACCUAUUUUAAAAAUGUACCCAUUGAACUUAUUUACAUAAGGCUCUUCGAAUAUCUACAAAGAAAACAUCUAAGAGGGAGCCAUCUUAGCAACUAGUGCAGGUGACAUCCAAAAAUUUUUCUUUACACAUUAGGUUAUGCAUUUGCACCAUUUAUAUAUGUGAGUACUAAUGUUAUUUUAUAAUUGAUCGAUUAGUGUCCAAGACAAGAAGGAGGGUUCGAAUGUGGCUACUUUGUUAUGAGAUUCAUUAAAGAGAUAAUUUUUUAUCCUACAAUUAUUGCUUCAAAGGUAUUACUUAUUUAAUGAAUUGUACAUAGUUUUAGGCUUCCAAAUGUUAUGCAUUUUAAUGUUAUUUUCUUAUUUGAUUUCAGUUUGGUAAUAAAAAAAACAUAUUCUCAAGUAGAAUUCGAUGAAAUUAGAGGAGAAUGGGCUACUUUUGUNNNNNNNNNNNNNNNNNNNNNNNNNNNNNNNNNNNNNNNNNNNNNNNNNNNNNNNNNNNNNNNNNNNNNNNNNNNNNNNNNNNNNNNNNNNNNNNNNNNNCUAUAUUCUCGAUUCAGAAAACUCUUUUACACAGAGAUCAGAGAGCAUAGGAUUGAAGGUUUGAAGGUUUAGGGUUUGAAGAUCAAUUUUUCAGGUAAAAUUUUUAAUCUUUAAAUUAAUAUUUUAUAUUUGUUAAUUAGUUACCAUUUCCUACGAUCACAGAGUUCUUACCCAUGUAAUUUUUGGACUGAUCCAAAAUAGAUGGAUCGGUGGUCAUAUGGGCCAAAGCUCCGGUGUCCAAAAACCAGUUAGCAGCCUUAGGUCCAGAAAGAGAACAAGAUGUGUUGAAGGCUUCGGCAAGAUGAGUAGAGGAAUCAGUCCGAGCAUACCGUUGGUUGCAGCGGUCAACAUAAUGGCCCUCUAUGCGACAAAUUUGGCAGCGAGGUGGUCGACGACCAUGACCAGAGUAGGUUCGUCCUCGGUUGGAAGAGUUGUUGUUGUGGGAAUGAGAACAACCUCACUGGUUGCUACGGAAAGCAAAUGGAGUUCCAUGGGAAGUGGUGCGACUGCGAUUAGUGGCUGUGAAUGCUGCAGUGGUGGGUUCAGAAGACUCAAGGGAUCGCUAGAACAACUCAAAACUUUCAGCUUUAGAAACUAGAUCUGCAAAAUAGGGGAGAGGGGUGAGAGCCAUCUGAGCUGUAGAAAAACUGGAAAAAUNNNNNNNNNNNNNNNNNNNNNNNNNNNNNNNNNNNNNNNNNNNNNNNNNNNNNNNNNNNNNNNNNNNNNNNNNNNNNNNNNNNNNNNNNNNNNNNNNNNNAGAGGAGAAUGGGCUACUUUUGUGCUACAACUAAUCAUGAAUCAUGUUGAUGCAUCAUGAUCACCAUGCAUGGUGAGUCCCUUAGCUACUACAUGAAUUUUUCCAUAGGUAUUGUAUAGUAAUGCUUAUUCUUUGAAUAAUGUUUCUAUUUGAAAAAAAAAAUUAAUUCUUAGAUUUGUUCAUUUAUGAUAACAUAGAUCCAUGUUUAUUUUCUUCAAUAAAAAUCUCUAAAACUCAUUAAAUUUUGAAAUGUAGGUAUACACUCUUGGGAGGGUGAAAUGGAGAAUAAAAAGAAAGAAGAAGACAACAGGAUUUUGGGUUUUUAAAUGCAACUCUUAUGUCAUACGUUGUAGGACAUAAACGUUACUUUAAUUGCAACUGAGAAAUUUAGAUUUUUAGAUGGGACUUCUAUGUCAUUUUAUGGUUAACCGGUUUUAUGCUUAUGAAAUGGAGGUAUACAUGAAUCUUGGGAUCUUUAACAUUUCUAAAUCAUGUUUUGGUAUGUAUUCACUCUUCUUUUUUAGUUUUGAUGGGUUUGAUAUGUUGGACAUACUAUCCUUUUGUGAACAUUUGAUAUACAAAUAUUAUUAGAUGAUCAAUGUAUUAUGAGUUAUUCCAGAAACAUUACAAAAAAAUGAGUUAAAUAUAAUAUGAUUGUUAUAUUUAUGGACAAAAUAUAAACAGGUUAAUCUUAUUAAUUCAUAAGCAUUACAAAAAUCAACAACUAAAACCAAUCAUAUAUUCCACAAUAAUUUACAAUGAUGUGAUAUCAUAACUCAAAGGUGAUGCAUUUAAUGUGACAUCAUAACUCAAAGAUGAUGUAUUUAAUGUGACACCCUAUCAUCACUAGAAAUAUAUGGUGUCACUUCUGAAUGGGUCACCAUUUAUCUACUUUGGUGUCACUUCCAAAUACGUCACCAAUUGGUACCCUCUAUGGUGUCAGUGGAGAAGGUGACGCUAUGUUGUAGUGACACCUUAUGUUUAUGGUGACUCGUUAUAAAUGUCACCAUAUACCUUUUUCCUUGUAGUGCACAUAUCUAGUCUUUUAGAAACUAUUAAACUUAUCAAGUAUCGAAAUGUGAUUGUGUCCAUUAUAGGGAAAUGUGAUUGUGUCCUAAACCGUGAAUCAUCAGUCCAAGAACAUGGCAAAGGAGCUUGACUCCACUGAUACACUAUGGAAAGGUUCGCUUACUGAACAGUUACUCGUUCUAGUAAGAUAAUAGUCAAAAACCUUAAUUAUUUAUCAAUUAUGAUUGGACUUCUUGCUUUCGGUUAAUAUUCCAUGCCUUAAUUACAGUCUUAAUUUAGGAUUGAAUUAGGGUUGUAACUAGAUUGGAACGCUAACUUUGGCUAUGCCUUUCUAGCUUCAUCAACUGAUCCUGAAGCCUCUGUUAUAUUGGCUUCAGUGGCAUCCACUGCCUUUGUUCUACAAAUAAAAUAAAAUAAAUUACAACCGAAAAGUUUAAUUUGUAAUGUGAUUUUUAAAAAUUUAAAUCCAAUAUAUAUUAUUUACUCAUAAUAAUAAUAGUUUUAUAUCUUUAGAAUAAAUUAUUAAUUCCUGAAAAGUGUUUUAAAAUAUUUAAUUUUUUUUAAUAAAAAAAAUUCACAAUUUUGGUUGUUGAGUGGUCCUAACAUAUUUCUUUUAUUUUUCUUUUAUUGUUUAUAGUAAGUCUCCAAGACCUUCCUCGGUAACAUGAACUCUUCACCAACCAACCUCAUAGACUCCACUUCAUAGAGGCAACUUCACAUCUACGUGGGAACCAACCAAAAUUGAAAAGAAAAAAAAUCUACGAAUUAUUUAAUCUAGGAAACUUUCACCAACCAACACUCGUUGAACUCGGACAGCGUAUGUCAUUUGGAAGUAAUUUUAUUUUAUUUUAUUUUUCUUUCUAUUUAAAAAAUAAAUAUUGUUAAAUUUCAAAAUAAAUAUAUUUUAUUAAUUUUGUUUUACGCUUCUCAUAGUCUAAAAAACAGAAAAAAAAAAAUGAAUCCAACCAUUUACAAAUUAAAUUCAAUUUUCGUUAUAAAAUUAGAAAUAAAAAUAAAAGCACAAAUUUUACCUAAAGUUCAUAUAUUAAUAUAUAUAUAUAUAUAUAUAUAUAUUUCUAGGAAGUAGAGUAUUCAAGUUGAGGUUUGUUCGGAAUGCUGCCAAAUAUUUUAACGCAAGAAAAAUGCUUUAGCCAAAACAAUGGUCAAAUGAGACAGCGCAAGAGAUUUAUCCCUUUUUAAAAAAUCGCAACUAGAGGGUGGAGGAAGGAGGCUGAAGGGCCGAUGUCAUACAAAAUUGACUACUUUCUCAGUAAUCCCUAAGAAUAUUUGCCAAACCACCACCCAUGAAAAGGUGGUGAGAGUUUACUAUUUAUAAUCAUUUACAGAAUAUAAGAAAUUAUUACAAAUCAAAUAAUAUCAAACUGAUUACAAAAGAAAUGGAAAGUAGGAAAUAAUAUCAAACUGAUUACAAAGGAAUAACAUGUAAUCAAGGGUCAAAUAUGAUACAUAUGGUAAAUUGUAAUGAAAAGGCUAAGUAUCCUUAACACCUCCCCGCAAGCUGAGCGUCGGAUUGGAACGAAUGUGAAGCUUGAAUCGGGAAAAUUCAAAGAGAGGUCGAGAAACACUUUUGGUGAAGAUGUCAGCAACCUGGAGGUGGGAGGGCACAUACUGGGUGCGAAGUUUGCCAACGACAACGAGUUCCCGAAGGAAGUGGUAAUCUAAUUCAACAUGCUUGGCCCGCUUGUGAGAAACGGGAUUGGAACUCAAAAAGAUAGCACUUUUGUUGUCACAUAAGAGUAGGGGCUGCUGUGGAAUGGGGACCUUGAGGUCAUGCAAAAGAUGUGUAAGCCAAAGAAGUUUAGCAGCAGUCAUAGCAAGGGCACGAUACUCAAAUUCACAGCUAGAGCGUGAGACAGUAGGUUGCUUCUUUGCACUCCAAGAUACUAGAUUGUUACCAAGAUAAAUAGAGUAGCCGGAUGUAGAACGACGAGUAUCGGGACAGCCAGCCCAAUCAGCAUCCGAAUAAGCUACUAGCGCACUAGGAAUAGUGGAUGGACGAAAGGUAAGGCCAAAGUGGAGUGUGCCCUUAACAUAGCAAAGAAUACGCUUGACAGCAAGAAAAUGAUCUAUAGUAGGGGCGUGCAAAAAUUGGCUGACAGAAUUGACAGCAUGGGCAAUAUCUGGAAGCGUAAUGGUCAAGUACUGAAGGGCGCCAACAAGAGAUCGAUAGAGAGUAGGAUUAGAGAAAGGAGAACCAUCAACAGUCAGGUGUUGGGAAACAACCAUGGGGGUGUGAACAUGUUUGCUGUCGAGCAACUGAGCACGAGUAAGAAUAUCUCGAGCAUAUUUUAACUGACUGAUAAAGAGACCAUCAGGAGUGGGCAAAGCUUCAAGACCAAGAAAGUAACUGAGGGAGCCCAAAUCCUUGGUAGCAAACUCAGAAUGAAGCUUACGAGUAAAACUGUCAAGAAGUGAUGGGUUGUUGCCAGUAACAAUAAUGUCAUCAACAUAAAGAAGCAAAUAAAUAAGGCUAGACUGCUGAUGAAAGACAAAAAGAGAGGUGUCAGCUCAACUAGAAGAAAAACCAAGUGUAAGAAGAAAUGAGCUGAAACGUUGAAACCAGACACGAGGAGCUUGCUUUGAACCAUAAAGGGCGGCUUUCUUUAAUAGGUAGACAUGAGUGGGAAAACGAGAAUCAAUAUACCUAGGAGGUUGUUCCAUAUAAACAUGUUCAGUAAGGGUGCCAUUGAGGAAAACAUUCUUGACAUCAAGUUGCCGAAGAGGCCAUUUAUUUGUGACAGCAAGAGAAAGCACAACACGGACAGUAAUAGCUUUAACAACCGGACUGAAAGUGUUAAUGUAGUCGAGACCAGGUACCUGGGUAUAACCUUUAGCGACAAGGCGAGCCUUGAGACGCUCAACGGAUCCAUCCGGAAAAUAUUUAGUGCGAAACACCCAUUUAAAGCCCACGAUGUUGGUGUUGACAGGCCGAGGGACCAAAAUCCAAGUACCAUUUUGUUGUAAAGCUUGAAUUUCUUCAUCCAUGGCAGCAAGCCAAGCAGGAUUCUUAGCAGCAAAUUUGAAUCCUUUUGGCUCAGUGGAUGCAAGAAGAUCAGAAAGAAGUCCAGAGGAGCCCAAGACACCAAGAUUCGUUGGAUGACGAGUCUUGAAAAUACCAGCUUUGGCUCGUGUGAUCAUAGGAUGAGAGCCCAAAGAAGAACAGGAAUCAUCAGCAAGCUCAAUAGAAUGUGGACUGGAAGCCAAGAGUGGCAAAGAGGAACCUGAAAGAGAAGUAUCAACCUGCACAGACUCAUCCACAAGAUCAGAACAAAUAUUACAUGGAGAGGAGUUGGAUCGAGGAAUGUGCGGGGAAGGAGAGGUAGGGGAAGGGGGGAGAUGGAUCAAUAUGGUGAAGACGUGGUUCCAAGAAAUUUGAAAUAUGAAGAGAGGAAAGAGGUUGGGCCUGGGAGCUUGGGACAGUAGGAAAGUGAGUUUCAUCAAAUUGAGCGUGGCGGGUGAUGUAUAGCCUAGAGGUGGUGGGAUUAAGACAACGAAACCCUUUAUGAGAAGGACUAUAACCCAAGAAAAUGCAAGGAAUUUUGCGGGGAGAAAGUUUGUUAGGCAUAUAAUCACGCAAGCAAGGAUAAACACGACAACCAAAAGGAUGAAAAUUCUCAUAAUACGGAGAGUAGCCGUAUAAAAGUUCAAAGGGUGACUUACCACCAAGAAGUGGAGUGAGCAACCGGUUGAUGAUAUAAGUUGCAGUGCUGAAAGCGUCAACCUAGAAACGAGGAGAAAAGUGGGAGUGGAAGAGAAGGGCCAAGCCAGUCUCAGUCACAUGACGAUGUUUUCUCUUAGCACGACCAUUUUGAGUAGGUGUAUAUGGACAAGAGAGUUGAUGAUGGAUGCCAGAAGUACGUAAGUGAGCUUUGAAGCAAGUAUUAGUAAAUUCAGCACCUCCAUCGCUUUGAAAAACCUUGAUACGAGCGGAAAGUUGGUUUUCCACAAAUUUUUGAAAUUGAAGAAAAAUAUCAAAGAAAUCAGAUUUAAAUUUCAAAGGAUAAAGCCAAGUGAAUCGGGAAUAAUCAUCAAUAAAAAUAACAUAGUAAAGAAAUCCUGAAUUUGAUUUGAUGGGGGAAGGACCCCAAAGGUCACAAUGAAUAAGAUCUAACACAUGAGACGACCUAUGUUCAUUUCAGGAAUAAGGUAAUCGAUGAUUUUUCGCAAGUUAACAAGUACUACAUAGUGAGGGAGAAGACAAUAAAGACGUAAGAGAAAGAUGUCAUUUUUUAUUUAAAAAAGAAAUUACAGAAUAAUUCACAUGACCUAGGCGAGCAUGCCAUAAAUCAUAUGAAGCACGUAAAGAUUUAUUUUUAAAGAUAGAAAUAAAGGCAGAGUUGCCGUGCUCCAACACAUAUAACCCUCCAUCUCUUUUACCGGUCGCCACCACCCUUCCUGUUUGACGAUUCUGGACAGUAAAAAGAUUAUUAGUAAACGUAACGGAGAAAGGAAAAUCAGAAGUUAAUUUGCUAAUUGAAAGAAGAUUUUUAGUGAGAUGAGGGACAACCAAUACAUCUAGUAAGUGAAUAUUUGGAAUAGGAGAAAGAGUACCAGUGUGGGUAAUGGGUAGGGAGACACCAUUUCCUACGAUCACAGAGUUCUUACCCAUGUAAUUUUUGGACUGAUCCAAAAUAGAUGGAUCGGUGGUCAUAUGGGCCAAAGCUCCGGUGUCCAAAAACCAGUUAGCAGCCUUAGGUCCAGAAAGAGAACAAGAUGUGUUGAAGGCUUCGGCAAGAUGAGUAGAGGAAUCAGUCCGAGCAUACCGUUGGUUGCAGCGGUCAACAUAAUGGCCCUCUAUGCGACAAAUUUGGCAGCGAGGUGGUCGACGACCAUGACCAGAGUAGGUUCGUCCUCGGUUGGAAGAGUUGUUGUUGUGGGAAUGAGAACAACCUCACUGGUUGCUACGGAAAGCAAAUGGAGUUCCAUGGGAAGUGGUGCGACUGCGAUUAGUGGCUGUGAAUGCUGCAGUGGUGGGUUCAGAAGACUCAAGGGAUCGCUAGAACAACUCAAAACUUUCAGCUUUAGAAACUAGAUCUGCAAAAUAGGGGAGAGGGGUGAGAGCCAUCUGAGCUGUAGAAAAACUGGAAAAAUCGGUGCCGAGUCCACAAAGGAACCAGUGCACUUUGUUAGUUUCCUCGACGGGUCUUCCAAUGGCAUGAAGCUGGUCACAAAGUGUUUUGAAGGUAUGGGCAUACUCAGCAACGGGUUUGGUGCCGCGUUUCAUGAUUACUACUCAAAAAGUGCUAUUUGAUAGCUUGUAAUUAACUCUUUUAAACACUUUUGAGUAGUAGUUAUCACCUUUUAACCCAAUUAACAUGUUAAGGACCCUUGCAAUCAAUUCUAAUAAAAUUGUGUUAAGUUUUGGUGUUUUGAUAGCUUUUUAAUCACCAAAGCAAUCCGAGAUUGAGGAGAGUUCUUUGGAAUUCAUGGCAAAGUAAUGGAAAGCUCAGAAACAUGAAGAACCAAAGCUUUGAAGUCCUUUGCCAUAAGCAAAUCCGGAAUGCAAGGAGUGUGGGAUCCUCCCCAACCCAGAUUGAGUUCUGGUUCAGUCUUCCUUACAAAAGAUGUCCGGACACACCAUCGGAGGGCGGCAGAACGUGGGCUGUGGCAGGCUGUCGAAAUGACGUAGCAAGGCUUGCUCACUUUAGUCAAUGAUCAUGACAACAUAUCCGGAUAGGAUAUGCUAUCGUCCAGGUGUGAUGAUCGCGAGUGCCGUGUGUUUCUUCCUGAGGGAGUCUGGAUAGGGGAGCGCGCCGUGUGUCCUCUUGGGGAAUCCGGAUGGAGUGAUCCGGAUAGCGAUGCGCGCUCCGUGUCGUCAGGCGGAGGGGUCCCUACACCUUGCACACACAGACAGUCCCCCUUGCGACAUUCCACCUUCUCCGGAUAUUUCACAUCCAACGCUUGACGCCGGAUGGGAGAGGAGGGCGUUUCAACUUCCCUAGACGGACAUAUCCGGAUCCUCUGAUAGCGCUUACCCGGAGAGUUUCGCAGCCAUUUUGCACAUUGCCGCGGUUUUCUCCUAAAGCUUCCCGAUAUGUGCGACCAACAUUUUGAGAUAUUUUUCUUUAGAUAUUUUAUGUCUAAAUCCCCAAAGUCUCCUUGUAACCCACCUAUCAUAUGAUUCCUUAGUCUUUAAGUAAAAACAAAGGGUGAAUAACCCCUUAUAUAUAGUUUUGUAAUUAGCAUCAUAUAUGAUAAUAAUAUAGAUCUCGGGAGCUUGUUCUCAGAGACCACCUUUUGUAUAAGUAAGAAAUAUAUCUACAGAGCACUUGCUCUACUUUUCAUAUAUUUUUGUUUUCUCGUUAUUUUUCUUUCUAGCCAAUCAAACUCUGAGGAUUUUUCCUCAGAGGAUGAGAGGCUAGACUCUUCGUCUCUUGGAGUGAAGAAAGCCGGGUAAGUUUCCUCAUGCAUAAAUUGGAAGUUUUGUUGUUUUAGUUUUUAAUGAAGGGAAAGUGUGACCCGUUAAUGGUUUUUAUCUUUUUAGUUAACUUAAAACGCCUUUAAAUCACUUGGGCCAACACUUGGUAAGGCAAGUGAUCUCCAUCCAUUGAGAUGCACUAGUUUAUCUCUUGCGAGCCUUUGGGAGGUGGUUUGAAGGUAGGAUUUUCUAGAAUAGCCAACACUUGGUAAGCUUUUGGACUCUAAGGAGACAUCCAUUAGUUAUCUCUUGCGAGCUUUUAACGGGUAAUCCAAGGUUAAGGAUCAUCUUGGAUGGCAAAUGCUAGGUGAGAGGCACAAGCCAUUGCAAGAUGCAUCAGUGAGAGAGAUUUAGUGUUUGAACCCAUUAAUGGGAAGCAUUUGUACAACACCAGUUGGAGAAGGAACUAUAUGUUAAUUCUCUAAUGCGAGAAAAAGAAACAAAUGACCAGAACUCCCUUUUUGUAUGAGGAAUCUGAGCCUGAUGAUCUGAAACUCCAAGAAACACUUUUCUUUGUAAUUAAAAUCAGUCACUACUAUUUUUGGUUAGCUUAAAACCAAUCCUUUUUCAAACAUCUUUAUGUUUUCUUUUAAAGCUAACCUUGAAAUGAAAAGACACCAAUUCAGCUUUGAAUUAAUAUCAAUUGUGAAGUGAAAACUCAUCCCAGUGAACGAUCCUAGAGCCACUAUGCUAUAGUAGCUUUGUCUUUGCUACCUAGUUCAUGGUGUAAUAGGUUAUAAAUUUUGUUGAUUACUCCCUGAGGACCAAAAUCAAGGGACACUAGCUGGACACGUAUCAAAUGGCACCACUGUCAGGGACCAUUGAGAGGACAUGAAUCAGCUGAGACACCAAUUGGGAACGAAUCAUUUCAUCAGCUGCAAGUCAUCCUUGAGUCGUAGUUCAUGGGCUUUCAAAUGAUGGCUGAAUGUAUUCUCCAAUGCGAGCCAAACUUCACGGGCAGUGGAGAGACCAACAAUGACAGCAAUGGCUUCCUCGGUGAGAGAGGAGAGCAAGAGACAGAGAAGCCGUUGAUCAGCUGCUUUCCAUGCUAGAUAUUUGGUGCUGAGUGUGGUAGAAGUUGCUGGUUCACAACGGGGUGGUGGAACAAGAGUUCCAUCAACGUAGCCCAAGAGGUCUUGACUCUCAAGGAGAGGAAGAAGUUGGCUUUUCCAGAGAAGAUAAUUGGAGGAAGAAAGCUUGAUGGUGAUCAUGUGGAUUAGAGUGUUGAAAGGAAGAAGAUGAGAGGAUUCGGAAGCCAUGGAGAAAAAUGGACUGGGCUUGCUAAACCAGAUUGGCUCUGAUACCAUAAGAAUAUUUGCCAAACCACCACCCAUGAAAAGGUGGUGAGAGUUUACUAUUUAUAAUCAUUUACAGAAUAUAAGAAAUUAUUAUAAAUCAAAUAAUAUCAAACUGAUUACAAAGGAAUAGCAUGUAAUCAAGGGUCAAAUAUGACACAUAUGGUAAAUUGUAAUGGAAAGGCUAAGUAUCCUUAACAAUCCUCUCCACGUGACUCAAAUCAGCACGGAAGUAUUGAACAAGACCCCACCACCAGCUACAAGUGGAUUGGAAGUGGACACAUCAUUUCUGACACUUAUAAAUACCCAACGCUCACACACUACUUUGGCAACCCAUCUUCAAGCACCAGUCCGCAUACUCUUCUCUUUUCUUCUAUCACUUUGAAACUCUGUGGGGGAUUUUACUAGUCAUCAAUGGCAUCUGUGGAGGACAUUAGAAACGCUCAACAUGCCAAGCGGCUGGCCACCAUUCUAGUCAUUGGCACUGCUACUCCAGACAACUAUGCGUACCAAUCCGAUUACGCUGAUUACUAUUUUCGGGUCACUAAAAGCGAGCACAUGACCGACUUGAAGAAGAAGUUCAACCGCAUAUGUAAGUAUAUAUAUUCAUGCAUCAAUUGGAACAUCCAUUACAUACAUAUAUGUAUAAUUAUCAUAAUGCUUUAAGAUUCCCCUACAAGAAUUGCCAAGUUUUCUUUAAGCUUCCUGUGUGUUGCUUUUCUGUAAACUAAUUAAAUCUGUGAAAAAUGAGGGGCUAUACGUUGGUUUAAUAUUUCGUAAUAGCGCUGCUCUUUCCAAUCCUACAUAAAUUAAUUGCCCUGCCUAGGAACACAUAGUUAUUGUAAUAAUAAGUAAUAAUCUGUUUUAUAUUUAUGUUGAUCAUCUUGAGUGAUAAUGAAGCUGCCCAUUAUUGCUGAAUGAAUUUUGCUUUGCUAGUCCAUUAGCUAAUAUAUUAAAUUCCUUUAACUUAUAUAUAGGUGAGAAAUCAAUGAUCAAAAAGCGAUACAUUCAUUUGACUGAAGAAAUGCUAGAAGAGCACCCAAAUAUGGGUGCUUACAUGGCUCCAUCGCUCAACAUACGCCAAGAAAUUAUCACUACUGAGGUACCUAAGCUUGGUAAGGAGGCCACAUUGAAGGCUCUUAAAGAGUGGGGCCAGCCUAAGUCCAAGAUCACUCACCUUGUAUUUUGUACAACUUCAGGAGUAGAAAUGCCCGGUGCAGACUAUAAACUAGCCAAUCUUCUAGGCCUCGAAACAUCAGUUAGAAGAGUGAUGUUGUAUCAUCAAGGCUGCUAUGCAGGUGGGACUGUUCUCCGAACUGCGAAGGAUCUCGCAGAGAAUAAUGCUGGAGCACGAGUUCUUGUGGUAUGCUCUGAGAUCACAGUUGUUACUUUUCGUGGACCUUCUGAAACCCAUUUACACUCUUUAGUGGGUCAAGCCCUUUUUGGUGAUGGGUCGACAACUAUAAUUGUUGGAUCAGAUCCAGAUACCUCCAUUGAACGACCACUCUUCCAACUUAUUUCAGCAGCCCAAACAUUCAUUCCUAAUACACAAGGUGCUAUUGUUGGCAACUUACGUGAGGUGGGUCUAACCUUUCAUUUGUGGCCUAAUGUGCCUACUCUGAUUUCCGAGAAUAUAGAGAAGUGCUUGACUCAAGCUUUUGCCCCACUUGGUAUUAGUGAUUGGAACUCCUUGUUUUGGAUCGCUCAUCCAGGUGGCCCGGCCAUUCUAGAUGCAGUCGAAGCAAAACUCAAUUUGGAGAAAAAGAAACUCGAAGCAACAAGACACAUCUUUAGUGAGUAUGGUAAUAUGUCAAGUGCAUGCGUGUUGUUUAUUUUGGAUGAGAUGAGAAAGAAAUCACUCAAAGAAGAAAGGACCACCACAGGUAAAGAAUUAGAUUGAGGCGUUUUAUUUGGUUUUGGGUCAGGUCUGACCAUUGAAACUGUUGUGCUGCAUAGUGUUGCUGGGGCUACAAAUUGAGUGAAAAGAAAAAAAUCAGAAGGGGACAAUUUCCAAUUAAAUCAAAUAGGAGUUAAUAAAGACAUAUAUGUCUUCUAUUUGUAACAUCUUUUAUUCUUUAUUAAAAUUGAUGUUUGUGGUUCAAAUUAGAGCUUGUUGGAGGGCUUCAUUAGUAAUCUCAAGUUAAAAGGGAUGAGACAUCAAGUUCUUACAGUUUCGAUAUCUAGAUGAAAUUCCCUCAAAAGUUGUAUAAACAUCCACCGUGUUCUUUUAAAGAUUGUUGAGAGUAAUACAAAGAAAAGAAUAAAAUAACAAAUUGCUUUUUCCCUUUGUAACUAAGAAGUCUGCUGCAUGAUAGCUGCAUUUGUGUGACAGAAGCAAAGCCAUGUGGAUGCCAAAAGUAAUGCAACAAUUUGAAAAGAGUAAACAGGGCGGUUGAUUAGUUAACUUCCAUAAUUCCGCAACAUUUGAUUCAAAAGACUUUAGCUUUAUCAAUUACUUAACUACUACUCCGUAUGUGGAUAAAUUCUUGUACCAUCUGAAAAGGUAUAGAAGAUAGUUAUCCUCAUAAAUAGGUUGCCUAAUUAAUUAGGUGAUCUUCAAUAAUUCAACAAGAUAGGGAUUUUAAAAUAUUUUUACUUUAUUAAUUCCUUAACUACUCCUUAAACUUCUUUUUUUCCCCUUUUUGUGAAAAGCUUUUUACCCUCAAUACAUAUGAUAUAUUCCGUUGCUAGGAACUUGGGUUUGAGUAUGUAUUAAUUACUAUUCUUAAUCAAAUUUAUUAUUGAAAAAUUAUUUUUAGUUAUGGUUUUUUUAAUAUACUUAUUACACAUUUAUCAUAUGUACUUGUUUAAUAUACUUCUAAUAUAUUUAUCAUUCAACAACAAAUACGAGAAAAGGUAUAAAAGACAAUGAAAUUACAAACUAAAUUGCCUUUAGUUUUUUUAUAGUUGAAGGCCUUCUUUUCCACCCCUAGUCUCCAAUAAAUUAGACUCUACAAAGCUUCUUCUAUGUUACUCUCUGAUUCUACUUCUAGUGCAAAGAUUUUGCAGUACUCUACAUUAUCUUGCUAUUGCUAAGAGACAAUCCAAGAAUAUUGAAGAUAAUGAAGUUAGGUUGUUGUAGUAUAAUACCUGAGUUCUUCUCUACUUGCAACUAUGGGAUCGUACAUGAAGAAGCAUUUAAUAAAGGGUUUUAAGAAGCAUAACAUAUUUUUAAGGCCAAAUUAUUUACAAAUAAAGUGCAAUAACCAAAUAAAAAAUGAAGUUUGAUGAAUCAUGAUUAAGGGCGAAUUUAAUUUUCGUAAGGAAUUAUUAUUAUUUUUUUAAAAUCAAUUUUAUCACAAUGAAAUGAUCGAUGCAAAAAUUUAGUGCUUGUUUCUAUAUACUUAGUGUUAACUACUUUUAAAAAUGGAAAAUGAUUAUAACUUUUGUAUGAAAUGUAAAUUUUUAUUAGAAAAAUAUAUACUUCUAAACAAUUUUAAAAAACUAUUAUAUUUUAUUGUGACAAAAAGCUCUUACAUUUUAUAUAAGAGUUACUAGCUUUUUCCAUUUCAAAAAAAGAAACACGAAUUGUUCCAAACACUACAUAGUUAUUAAAAAUAUUUAAUCUAAAAAAAAAAUUAUUUUUAGUAUAAAUUGAUUCAUUUAAAAUUUUUACAUCAAUUGUUUUACGAUAACAAAAUAAUUUAAGUAUCACACACAAAGUUAUGAAAAAAAAUAUGAUAAUUUUAUUUUAGAUGAUUCACAAUAUUUCAAUGUUUUUUAAAAUAUAUUAAUUUUUAAAAAUAAAUUUAUUUAUAGAAAACUUGCAGUAAAUAUAUAAAAGAUGGAUGUGAUGAAACAUUAAUUAAAAUGAACUUUUUUUUUUCAUAAAAGAAAUUUUAAGAAAAAUUAAUUUCACCACAAAGAAAUAUUUUCAAAGAUUUAGUAAUCAAAACUAUCAUAUUUAAACUCAAUUAUUUUUAUAAUUUAUGUUUAUCCCUACAACAAUUUUUUUAUAUAUAAAUAUUUUACAAUAUAAGUGUACUAAGUAUAUUAUUUACAAAAAAAAAAAAAAUAAUAUUGACACAUAGAAUAUCAAUCUCUAUUGCAAUCUAAGAAUGCUUAGGUUCCAAAACCUCAAUUUAUUCUUGUUAGCUCAAGGGUUCUCCUAAUCAGGUUUUGAUGAUAACAAACCAUGGUUAAGUUGCUGAUUGGUUUGAAUUAUAAAGAAUUUCAUUUAUUAAUUCGAGAAUUCAUCAAAUGACCAAAUGGAUGCAAGAUCAAGACCUUUGGAAGACCUUUAAUAAUAGGAAACAUAUAUAAGAUGAAUGCAUGGGUGCACUUAGGUUUUACAUAUCAUUUCAUGCAUCUUUGAAAAACUCGAUUUAUUCUUUAAAGUUAUAGUUUCAUCAAAAUCCAAGUUUUAUCAAAUGAACCUUAGACAAAUUACUUCAAAAUUGGCAUAUUAAUUUACCUAAAGACCUUGCCUAAGUGUUAGAAGAGAAAAUAACAUAAAAAUAUAGGUUUUCAGGCAAAAAAUGUUGAACCGGUUGAGGCAUUGGCCAACCGGCUAGGGGUACCAGUUGACCGAUUCCCUCUUCGUGAUUGACUGGUUCCCUCUUCCCAGUUGACCGGUUCCCUCUUCUCAAUCGAGGUUUGGUCGAGGAGCGCAAAAAGUACUCUCUCUCUUCUAGUAGCCUUCCUUUCCGAUCGAGGUAUUUGCCAUCUUGGUCGACCUCCGGUCGAGGUCCGAUCGAGGUCCGGUCAAGGGUAAUGGUCACCUACCAAACAUUAAAUGCUCUAACGGCUACUAAAUCGGUCAAUCCCAGCUCGACCGAUUGAGGCUACUUUUUGGUUUUCUUGUCUCCCGAGGUUAGAAACCUAUAAAUAGAGAGUUCCACUUCAUUUUUAAGCAAGAGAACACUUGCAUUUAUUUGUCUACCCACUUAUUCUUGCCUUAAAAUCUCUCAUUCCUUUCUUGGCGCAUUAAAUUCCCAUUUGCAUAUCCUUUAGUGCACCUUUGUGAUUCAUCCUACUCUUAAGUUGUAUUUGAGCUAUUGUUGAGCUAGGCUGAUUGAUUCAUUCUUGUUAAUUGAGUGUUAAAGCCUUCAAGUGAGUUGAAACUUGAAGAGAUUGUGUAAGAGCCCAUUAGAGUCGAAAUCCAAGUGUAAAGGUGAUUAGAAGCUUGGUUGAAGCUUCAAGUUAGUGGAAUCCUCACUCGAUUAGGAGUUUGAAGAGAGUGGACGUAGGCAAGAAAGUGUCGAACCACUAUAAAAUUUGAGUUUGCUUUGUCUAACUCUAUCUCUUUAUAUUUGCUUCUCUUGUGCUUAAAUUUGUUUGUUUAAAAAGAAUUUUUUAAAAACCCAAUUCACCCCCCUCUUGGGUGUUUUUCUCAUUUAAGAUUAACCUUUAUUUUCUCAAUUCUUUUCUACCAACCAUACCUACAUUCAUGAAUUAGAAAGAAUAAUUUAACUAUACCAUAGGAAUUAUUAUAGUAAAUGGAAAAAAUACCACUAUUGAACCCUAAAGUAUCUCAUAAUUUCUUGUUUGUUAUAUCUACACCUUAAACUAGUAGCUUUGGUUCCCUAUGGUGUCACAUAUUCUUCCUUACUAUUAGGAUAUAGCCCUUAAAAAAUUUAGGGUUUAUUAUUCAUUCAAUAAAGUUCCAAUUGCACUUUAAUUAAUUAAUAGUCCAUGCAUUAUACCUUAUGAGCAUUUAGACCUACAUCUUUGCAUUAUGAGUUGUAUGGAAGAUCCAAGUCAUGGAUUCCUUACAAGUAGAUGGGUUGUUCACAACUGGUUCAUGAACUUAGACAAUAUCUUAGACUUCUUAAUUGGAGGGAUGGUUAGUCUUGGCCAUUGGGACGGGUUUCCCAUGAAGAGUGCACUAAAGUGUAUGGUUACAUAUUGGACAGGACCUAUAGUGAACCGUACUGUAAGUUUAUCAAGUUGCCAUGACUUCACUAAGCUACUUUAUUGUAUUGUCUUUCAACCUUGAAAUAAUAUUGAACUUGAGCAAAAGUUAGUAGUGACUUUAACUUACGGGUAAGAUCUUAAAGUGAUCAUAUAUUCCUUAUGGAUUGGAUCAUUGUUGAUGAAAACUACUAACAACAGGUAUUCUCAAUAUAAGCACCAUGAUAUUUAAUGGGAUUGAGACAAUGUGUUCCCUUGGGUGAUCUUAAGGAUGUGUGUUUAGGUCAACCAUGGUCAUCAUAAUUCCUUAAGUGGAACUUGACAUUAGCUCUUGGUGAGCUUAGAUAAUAUGUCAAUUGAUCACACUCUAAGAGGAUUUGGAACUCAAAGAUGGUAGAGGUAAUCUUCAAAAUUUGAUAACUUUUACCUUGUUAGAUUAUGGACAUCGGUUCAUGGGGAGACGUAGUGCUUAGGUCAUAGACCGACCCAAGUACUAAGCAUCUCGUUAUAUUUACGUAGUGUAUUGGAGUGUAGUAGUUGACUCUCUACUGUCAAAUGUAAAGAAAAUUUCAGAAUUGGAUUUUGAGGGAGUCAAUACUAUCAUAGGAGUCCCAAUUAUCCUCACUCGAGCUCAUAUACCUUGAUGACACAGUUUAUGAAGGUUAGAUUGACUCUUAGUUCACUUAUGUGCAUAAGGGCAUGUUGAUAAUUACACAAGGUUAAAUAGGGGUUAGUGAUCAAUAUCUCUAGAUUUGGCUAAUUGAUUCAUUAUUUAGUCCUAUUGAGUUAAUUAAUCAAUUAUAACCCUUUUUAGGCUAGAUUAAGUGACCUAAGCCCAUGGUGAACUCAAGUUACUUAAGCUUAGUAGGAAUCACUAUAAAUACCCAUUUAGGGGUUAAGGUUUCAAGCUUCUUCCAUUCAUACCCUACAUUUUAAAGAGAGAUCUCAAGCCUCCACCCUCAAAACUUCCAUUAUUUAAGUGCCAAGCUUCAAGGUUGAGUCAUGGGACGGAAGAUCAUGGGUUUAUGAGAUCUCUUGCAACUUUGAAUUUUUUAUUCAUAGCAAGGAAAUGAUUUGGGAAUUCUAAAUCAAUAGUAAGCACUCUAAUCUCAUUAUCUAGAUCCUAAAAUUGAUUUUAAAUGCAUAUUUUCCACUAUGCAUAGUAAUUAGAUAAGCAUAGGGAGGAUUGCAUGUAUCUAACCUGAUUUUAGGAUAGAGAAUGGAUUAAUCAAACAUUGCCUACAACUGGUAUCAAAAGCUUAGGUUAAGGAAACAUAUGAUCCCUUUUAAGGUGUGCUAAUCCUUGUGUUAUAGGAUUUGUUAUUCAUUUGAUGGUCCUAGGGAUGAAGGUAUAUGCAUGAGAUUUUUUGAACUUUUAUUAUGAUAAAUAUAUAUAGUGAUUGAUUGUUAGAUUGGUUUUUAUUAAUCUCUAGAUGAGUUGUAAACCCCAUAAUAAGUCUUAAGAUUUUUUUAUUUGCUAUAAAUUUUUUUUUUUUUUUAUAGAUUGGUUUGUGAAGUUCAAAUGAUUGGAGUAUAGGGUUUUGAUGUGAAAAUCCAAUUUACAUCUAUCUAUGUAACCCAUAAUGAGAAUGGAAGCAUUCAAAUUCUUGUACAUUCCCUUCCUGGAAAAAAAAAGUCCUUUUAAGGAAAAUAGUUACUAGAAAUACAAAAAUUCAUUCUCAAAUUCAGUUUCAUCAAGUUCUUAAGCACUUCUUCUAACACUCAAAAGCAACAUUUAAUGCUUGAAGCAUUUCAAGCUCUCUAAAGUUCCUUCAAGUGCUCCUAAAUAUACUAGUAAUCAUUUUAGGGUUUUUAGGGGUAAUUUUGGUCUCUUGUAAAACCACUAACCUUAUUUUUGUUAUGGAUUUUUUGGUAUGUUUGGAUAAUGAAAAUUUAAUAUUUAGGCUACCAAAUAAGCAACAGGACCCCUAAGUCCAUGCGAUUCCCUAUUUUAUUUUAUUUUAUUUUUUCUUUUAUGUUUCUAUUCUAUAUUGCAUAUGAUAAGAAGUUGAAUAAAAAGUUUUUCAAAAAUGGUAAUUUUGGAUUUUCUUAUAGAAAAUAAAUUUUCACGAGGAUUGUCACCAAGUAUUAUUUAUUUUAGAAUUGGAUGUUUCUAUUAUUGGAUUGGCAUCCCUUUUGGAACUUUCCUAUUGUUUUUGGUUAGGUGGUUCUCUAGGCUCUCCCCUCGUGAGAAAGAUAACAACACCAAAGAUAGUCCUCUAGGUCCUCAUGAGAAAAAGAACAACAAAAACAGGAUGUGAUUUGUCCAUAUAAAAUUGUUUUAACAUUUUUUCUAUAUAUGUUGACUGAUGGACGAAUGUGUCAUUUGAACAAUGCUUGAUCUACAAGCCGAGACAAUAUCUUGUUUUCCCUAAAUCUUUCAUUUUAAAUUCCUUCUUUAAAUAAUUGGUUAUUUUUGUGAGCUCUUUAAGAGUCCCUGUAAGGUUCAAAUCAUCCACUUAUACUGUAAUUAUUGUGAGCUUGGAUUAUGAUUUCUUAAUAAAAACACAUGGGUAAAAUGACUUAUUCACAUAUUACUCUUUUAAUAAAUACUCACUCAAACGAUUAUACUACAUGUGUUCAAAUUGAUUUAAUUUAUAGAGAUCUUUGUAGUUUGAUUGAGUACAUAUUUCAAGGUUUUGAAUUAGUCAUUUUCAAGCAAUUUGAAUCCUUCAAGGAUUUUCAUAUAUAUGUCAGUAUCUAUAGACCCAUAUAAAUAAGUUGUAAUAACAUCCAUGAGACACAUAUCUAGUCCUUUAGAAACUAUUAAACUUAUCAAGUAUCAAAAUUUGAUUGUGUCCAUUACAGGAGAAUAAUUUUCCUCAUAGUUUAUAACAGGUUUUUGCAAAAAACCUUGAACAAGUCAUGCUUUAUAUCUUGUGACGUCAUUAUUCUCAUUUCGCUUUCUCAUAAAGGCCCAUUUAUAUCCAACAGGCUUUAUGUUUUCAAGUGUUUGAAAUACAGGUCCAAAACCUCUCAUUUUGCUAACUAGUUUAGCUCUAUGUGGAUUACUUCUUUCCAUCUUGGUUAAUCAUUCCUUUUUCGAUGUUCAUCCACAGUUUUUUGUUCUUGAUCUUCAUUAUUUAUCAUGAUGUCCAUAAUUAAUUGGAACACAAAUAUGUUGUCUAUGAUAAUGUCAUUGUGGUUCCUUGUUUGUCCUGUGUGACUCAUUGAGAUCUCUCUAGUUCUAAAUACCAGUAUUUAAUCAAUUAGUGCCUCUUUAGGAGCUAACUAUUUAUCAAGUUGGGUUUCAGCAUUUGAUCCUUUCCUAUUUGUAAGCUCUUCAAGAGUACCAAGUUUUUCAUAUGUCAUUCUUUUUCUUUUUUUAGAAAUUGAAUCCUUUGAGCCAAUUGGUCUACCACGCUUUAGGUGUGUCUUACAUUCACUUGCGAUGGCAUUCUCCUAUUAUCCUUUACGGACAUCAAUAUGUGCUAGGGUAUUCACAGCCUGUAUGUGUGACUUUGUUACUUUCAUUAUAUUUGUCAAAGCAUCAAGUAACUAAUUUGCAAGUCCUUAUAAAUGAAUAAUCCUAUGAAAUUCUAGUUAACACUGCCUUGCACGAGGAUCAAGAUGAGACAAAGAGGAUACAUAACAUGUAAUGUCUCGCCAUUGUUCUGGAUUUGAUUUGUCACCCGUAAUGGUGGGAAAACAUUUUCAUCAAAAUGAAAAUCUACAAAGUGGGCAAUAAAAACAUCGCCUAUUAAAUGUUCAAGAUAGCUAAUAAUGGAGGGAGAAUUAAAACCAACAUAUAUACCAAGUAGACGUCGAGGACAUAACUUAAAACAUUGAGGUAGAGCUAUGGGAGCAUAGACAAUACAACCAAAAAUAAGUAAAUAUGAAACAUUUAGUUGGGAGCCUAAAAUAAGUUGUAAAUGUGAGAAUUCAUGAAGUUGUAGAACAAAUCUGAAUUAAAGUAACUACAUGGAGAAUAGCAUGUCCCCAAGUAGAUAAAGGCAAUUUUGUUGUCAGGAAUAACGGUUUUGCAAUCAAUUGCAAAUGCUUAAUAAGAGAUUUAACUAAUCCAUUUUGAGUGUUAGUAUGAGCAAUAGGAUGUUCAACAUCAAUACUAACCGACAUACAAUAAUCAAGAAAUAUUUGGGAAGAGAAUUCACUAGAAUUAUCAAGACAAAUUGUCUUAACAGGGUUGUGAAACCAAGGUUUGGUCAAUCUUAAUUUUGAUGAUAACAAAAUAAGGUUUGGAAUUAAUGAUUAUAUUUCAAUUGUGAUUAGUCGAGAUGAUUUUCAAAGUGGCAAUCAUAAAGACAAAAUCAAGCCAAAGGGAAAUCAAUAAGGUGAAGAAGACCUCAAAGAGAAGUGUCUUUCAAGACCUAAGUUUCAUAGGAUCUCUUUGUAAGGUUGUUAGUGCAUUUGUUUUUUUUUUUAUGCAUUACAUUAUUUACUUAUGCACCAAAAUCAUCCAAGAGUUAUUUUUGUUUCAAAUAUUUUAAAAUCGGAUGAUUUCAUGUUUUCAACUAAAACUUUGUGUCAAAUGUUUUCUAAACUUUUUAAAAAGGUUUUAAGUUAAAAAAAAAUGGUUGUUAAGCCAAAAAUGGCUUAACCGGCUAAACUGGCUAAAGAACCGAUUGACCUAUUUAGUUCAACCGAUCGAAUUAUGCAAAAACCUUCUCUAUAUUCCAGAAUGCUUUUCCGACCGGUCGAGGCUAAACCUCAUCUGGUUGAGUACGAAUCGAGGGGUGGUCAAGGGACGAUUGAGGUCCAUUGGUCACCUGCCAUGCAUUAAAUGUCAACGGCUAAUGAACCGAUCGAAUUAGAGCUCAACCGGACGAACCCCUAACAGCUAGUUUAACAUUUUUCUUCUAUAAAAAAGCUCUAGUCUUCAUUGUUUUAAGAGCUUAACCUUCCAAAACCUUUCUUGAAUAUACUUAAGCCUUGGGAGAGUGUUUUUGAGUGCAUCAUUAUUAUGAAACUUGCAUAUCAUUAACGCACUUUUCAAUCCUAGUUUAUCUCUUAUCAUUUGAGCCUAAAGUUUUGUACUAGGGUUUUGUGAGAUUAUUUUUCAUCCUUAUUUGUAAAUCUUUGAGAAGAAAAGUCCAAGUGUGAGGUAUCACUUAAGGAUUCUCAAGUGUGAGGUAUCACUUUAGGGGUUGUUCAAGAGUGAGGUAUCUCUUGAGGAUUGUAAAGGGUGCUUAGAGCCAAAAGUCCAAGAGGGUUGAUUGGAACCAUAAUCCAAUUGGAUUGCUUGAAGGCUUGGGUUGGAAGCCUUGAAUUAGUGAAACCUCAAGCUUGGGAUUGAAGCUAGAGAAGACUAGACGUAGGCCAAGUUGCGCCAAACCAUUAUAAAAAUCUUAUGUUUGCAUUCGGGAUCCCAAGUCAUUCAUAUCAUCCAUAACCCUGAGUUGUUCAUAUGAUCCAGAGCCCUGAGCUCACGACUUAGAGUAGCACAUGUCAUCCAUAAUCCUAAUCUCUUUAUAGAAUCUAGAGUCAUGGGUUCACAACCAAAUUCAUUCACAUCAAUCAUAGCCUUUUAUCUCAUGACCGAAAGACAUUUAUAUCAUACAUGACAUUGAGCCGUUCAUAACAUAAAGAGCCCUGAACUCCUGGCUCAGAUUAGUUAUUAUCAUCCAUAGCCCUGAGUUUUUCAUAGCAUCUAGAGCCUGGAGCUCACGACCUGGAGUAGUUCAUGUCUUCCACAGCCCUGAGUUAUUCAUAACAUCUAAAGCCCUAAGCUCAUGACCUGUAGUUGUUAAUGUUAACCACAACCCUAACUUGUUCAUUGCAUCUAGAGUCUUAAGCUCAUAACCCCAAGUUGUUUAUAUCAUCCAUGAACUUGAGUUGUUCAUAGAAUUUAGAGACCUAAGCUCACGAGGGGAAGUGGUUCAUAUCCUACACUUCCUUAUGUUUUUUUUUAGCAUUUAGAGACCUAAGCUCAUAACAUGCAGACAUUCAUGUCCUCCACCGUCCUAAGUUGUUCAUAGCAUUUAGAGCCUUGAGCUCAUGACUCAGAGUCGUAGAUGUCAACCAAAGUCCUGAGUUGUUCAUUUCAUCUAGAGCCCUAAGCUAAUGACCUCAAGUCAUUUAUAUCAUUCACGAUUCUAAGCUAUUCAUAAAAUUCAGAGACCUAAGCUCAUGACAUGGAGUCAUUCAUGUGCUCUACUACUCAAAUCUUUUCAUAGAUCUAGACCUAUGAGAUCACAACCAAAAUCGUUCCUGUCAUCCAGAAUCCUAAGUUGUUCAUUUUAAUAGCCUUAAGCUCACAACCUAAAGUCGUUGAUGUCAACCACAACCUUAAGUUGUUCAUAGAAUCUAAAGCCCUAAGGUCACGACCCAGAGUCGUUCAUGUCAUCCACAGCCCUGAGUUGUUCAUAGUAACUAGAGCCUUUGGCUUAUGACAAAGAAAUGUCCAUAUCAUCCACAACUUUGAGCUAUUCAUAGCUUCUAAAGCCCCAAGCUCACGGGACCCUGAGUUGUUCAUGUCUUCCAUAACCCUCUACUCUUCAUACCCGUGAUUUUCUACCAAAAAUUGCCAUGAAAAAGUUUUCACAUGCAUCUCAUGCUCCUCUUGCAGUCGUCUGAAGACAAGUCAAUGUGCUUUGCUUCACUAAAAUUCAGUGUGCACCAAGUCUCUAUGUAAAGAUGAGUUGCUUGCAACCCUCCCAAAAUUUCUCCAUUAACGGAUCCCAAGUAUCUCCACCAAAAUCAUACAAAGAUAAAUACAAAAAAUAAAUAUUAGAAAUUACAUAAUAAUAUAAAAUAAAUAAAUAAAUAAAAUCUCAAAUGAUGCAAUGAGGGUGAAACCAAAAAAAAAAAAUAUAUCAAUCACAUACGUAGUUAAGUAGAAAAAAGAAUAUUAUUCCAUGUAACUUAAAAGAUUAGAUUCAAAAUCUCAAGCAAUUUCCUAAAAAAUAAAUAAAUGAAUAAAUAAAUAUCACAUGGGCAAUUAGAAUUUGAAAAUAAAAAUAAUGCAAUAGAAAACAAUGAAAAACGGAUGCAAUCAAGAAUCGAAAUCAAGUCCAAACAAAUGUCCAAAAUGUAUGAAAAAAGUGCCUAGGUGACUAGGGUGAAUGUGUGCAAGCUGGAAGGUGCCUAGGUGAAUCUAAGUGGGCCUAGGUGAACCUAGAUGAGUCUAACCUAAAGUGCAAAUUAAGGUUGUCGAGGGUCACAAUGGGGUUAGAUAAAUCUCUCGAUCAAAGUCUCUAAGGUGGCUCAAAAAAAGGUAAGUAGUAUGAGUAACAAUGGACCACCAAGGAACUACUAUGGAGCACUAGAAGUGAACUUAAAGACAUGUGCUAAAGGGACAAAAUUGAGGGUCUACAUACAUGUUUAAUUCACUUUAAACAUUUGAAUAACAUUGUUUUUAUUUAUAAAAAUAAAAUAAAUUUUAAAAAUCAAAUUUCAUUUCUUUUACAACAUACAUUUAUAUUAAAUAAUUUAUAAUUAUUAAUUAAUUUGCUAUUAAAAAUAUAAUAAUAAUAUAUCUUAACGAGGAAAUUUUAAAUUCCUGAAAAAAUGUUUAAAAUAAUUGUUAUAAAUGAAGUAGUGAAUGUCGCCACAUCAUUAUAAUAAAUGUUAAUUAAAAAUUAUUUAUGACUUUCAUUAAUUCAAUAUUAAUGGAAGCCAUUUAGACAGUCUAUAGAAAGGUUUCCCAUCCCCUAUGCAAGGAGCAUCCUAAGAAAAGAAGCAGUCUCUCAUUCUCUCUGUUUUUCAUUCUCUCAUCUCUCCUAAUUUUCUUCUCUAAUUUCUUUCUCCCCAUUAUAUAUUAUUAAAGUUAUAUAUAUUUGUCUCUACUUUUGUUUGCAUUUAUUAUGGUUUUGCAAUAAUAAUUUUUAUUUUUAUUUUUCUAUUUUAAACACACAAAACUUGGGUUCACAUUUUAAUUGGUUGUUAAGUGGUCUUAACGUUUCUAUGUGUUUUAAAUAUGGUUCCUGCUUUUUAUUUUUAAAAUAGUAAUAAUAGUAAUCAUUAGUAUAAUGUACAUAAAAAUAAUACUGGUAAAGAAAGAAAAAAGAAGAAGGGUUUUUAAGAUAAUAGAAUGGUAUAAUGUAUGACUAUUGAAAUGUUAAUCAAGCUAAAUAUUAACAAAGUUUUAUUUUACCAUUGCAUAUAUUUUUAAAUGAUACAUUUAUAUUAUGUAAUAGAAUUAGAAAUAUUCAUAUUUUUACAUUUCAUUGUUUAUCCUAAUUAUGAUAUAAUAUGCUAAAUUUUAACUAUAAAAAGAUGAAAUAAUUUUAAUUAUUUGUAUAUUUUUAAUUUUAAUUAUAUGUAAAUUACAUAUUUAUCAUGUCAUGUUCACAUCAUUAUUCUAUGUAAUUCAAUCAUUGAUCUAACCAGUGAACUAUUGAUCGAUUUUUAUUUAAUAACUGAUUCGAUUUUGAAAAUAUUGUGAGAUACAUCAAGAUGCUUUUUUUAAAUAAAAAAAAUUAUUUAUUAGUUUUAAGAGAAUAUCUAUUAAUGUUUUCAUUUAUGAACAUGAAAUAAUUUUGGUUGUUGAGUGGUCCUAACAUAUUUCUUUUAUUUUUCUUUUAUUGUUUAUAGUAAGUCUCCAAGACCUUCCUCGGUAACAUGAACUCUUCACCAACCAACCUCAUAGACUCCACUCCAUAGAGGCAACUUCACAUCUAUGUGGGAACCAACCAAAAUUGAAAAGAAAAAAAAAAUCUACGAAUCAUUUAAUUUAGGAAACUUUCACCAACCUACACUCGUUAAACUUGGACAUGGAUGAAAUUUUAUUUUAUUUUAAUUUUCUUUCUAUUUAAAAAAUAAAUAUUUUUAAAUUUCAAAAUCAAUAUAUUUUAUUAGUUUUGUUUUACGCUUCUCAUAGUCUCAAAAAGACUAUUGUGAAAUUUAAAAACAGAAAAAAUAUAUGAAUCCAACCAUUUACAAAUUAAAUUCAAUUUUCGUUAUAAAAUGAGAAAUAAAAAUAAAAGCACAAAUUUUACCUAAUAUAUAUAUAUAUAUAUUUCUAGGAAGUAGGGUAUUCAAGUUGAGGUUUGUUCGGAAUGCUGCCAAAUAUUUUAACGCAAGAAAAAUGCUUCAGCCAAAACAAUGGUCAAAUGAGACAGCGCAAGAUAUUUAUCCCUUUUUAAAAAAUCGCAACUGGAGGGUGGAGGAAGGAGGCUGAAGGGCCGAUGUCAUACAAAAUUGACUACUUUCUCAGUAAUCCCCUCCACGUGACUCAAAUCAGCACGGAAGUAUUGAACAAGACCCCACCACCAGCUACAAGUGGGUUGGAAGUGGACACAGCAUUUCUGAUACUUAUAAAUACCCGACGCUCACACACUGCUUUGGCAACCCAUCUUCAAGCACUAGUCCGCAUACUCUUCUCUUUUCUUCUACCGCUUUGAAGCUCUGUGGGGGAUUUUACUAGUCAUCAAUGGCAUCUGUGGAGGACAUUAGAAACGCUCAACGUGCCAAGGGGCCGGCCACCAUUCUAGCCAUUGGCACUGCUACUCCAGACAACUGUGUCUACCAGUCCGAUUACGCUGAUUACUAUUUCCGGGUCACUAAAAGCGAGCACAUGACCGACUUGAAGAAGAAGUUCAACCGCAUAUGUAAGUAUAUAUAUUCAUGCAUCAAUUGGAACAUCCAUUACAUACAUAUAUGUAUAAUUAUCAUAAUGCUUUAAGAUUCCCCUGCAAGAAUUGCCAAGUUUUCUUCAAGCUUCCUGUGUGUUGCUUUUCUGUAAACUAAUUAAAUCUGUGAAAAAUGAGGCGCUAUACAUUGAUUUAAUAUUUCGUAAUAGCGCUGCUCUUUCCAAUCCUAUAUAAAUUAAUUGCCCUGCCUAGGAACACAUAGUUAUUGUAAUAAUAAGUAAUAAUCUGUUUUAUAUUUAUGUCGAUCAUCUUGAGUGAUAAUGAAGCUGCCCAUUAUUACUGAAUGAAUUUUGCUUUGCUAGUCCAUUAGCUAAUAUAUUAAAUUCCUUUAACUUAUAUAUAGGUGAGAAAUCGAUGAUCAAAAAGCGAUACAUUCAUUUGACCGAAGAAAUGCUUGAAGAGCACCCAAAUAUGGGUGCUUACAUGGCUCCAUCGCUCAACAUACGCCAAGAAAUUAUCACUGCUGAGGUACCUAAGCUUGGUAAGGAGGCCGCAUUGAAGGCUCUUAAAGAGUGGGGCCAGCCUAAGUCCAAGAUCACUCACCUUGUAUUUUGUACAACUUCGGGAGUAGAAAUGCCCGGUGCAGACUAUAAACUAGCCAAUCUUCUAGGCCUCGAAACAUCAGUUAGAAGAGUGAUGUUGUAUCAUCAAGGCUGCUAUGCAGGUGGGACUGUUCUCCGAACUGCUAAGGAUCUCGCAGAGAAUAAUGC
Molecule: long non-coding RNA, 52403 nt
Filed under: Vitis vinifera (wine grape)
Lineage: Eukaryota; Viridiplantae; Streptophyta; Magnoliopsida; Vitales; Vitaceae
Description: long non-coding RNA (VVIN_LNC003296)
Source: RNAcentral